AGAAGGAUGCACAAUCUUGAAAUUCUCAUUCUCAACAACGUCAACGUCGAGGGAAGCUACGAAGAAUUUUCAAAAAGUUUAAUAUGUUUAUCUUGGAGAGGAUUCCACUUAAAAUCAAUACCAGAAAAUUUUUAUUUGGAAAACCUGGUUGUUCUUGACAUGCGAAAUAGUAGCCUACAACAUGUUUGGAAUGGGAUCAGGGUACGUAACCCUCUCUCUCUCUCUCAUUCUUUCUCUCACACAUGUCCAUUAUAUCUUCUUAGAAAUUGAUUAAUACUUGUUAUUGAAACAGUUUCUUCCGAGGCUGAAAAUUCUUAAUCUCAGUCAUUCGCAUGGCCUUAGGACAACCUCCGACUUCUCAGGACUCCCUAACCUUGAGAGAUUGAUUCUUAAAGAUUGCAUAAAUUUGGUUGAGGUUGAUGAGUCCAUCGGAUACCUAGAGAAACUUGUUGUUUUGAAUCUAGAAGGCUGCAAAAAUCUCAUGAAGCUUCCAAAAUUGAGAUCUAUUCAGGAUCUUAUUCUUUCUGGUUGCUCAAAGCUUGUGCUUGGUGCCAAUACGACUGCCACAACUGGUCACUUACAAUCUACAGCUUGUGAAAUGAAGAAACUCAAUCUGCUAUCAGCUAAAUCAUGGUAUUCAAUCUGGUCGCAGGUGUCGCCAAGAAAAAAUAUUGAACCAAGCAGUUUCUCAUUGGCAAGUUUACCACAUUCCUUGACAAGUUUACGUCUGGAUAGCUGCAAUCUAUCAGAGAUUCCGAGUGCCCUUACUAUGCUGUCUUCGUUAGAGUACUUGGAUCUGUAUAACAAUCCAAUUACAAGCCUACCAGAGAGCAUGAACAAUCUUGUUAGGCUUCACACUCUUGCAGUAGAAGGUUGCAGAAACCUCACAAUGCUUCCAGAGCUCCCACAUAGUUUGAAACAAUUGAAUGGUAGAGGUUGCACAUCAUUGAAAAGAAUAACAAAUUUACCGAACUUGCACAUAUCACCUACCGUAUAUCCCUUCGGCAUGCAAAAGGACUUAGAUUUAAUGCAUUACAAUAUAGUAUUGGACUCAAAUUUAUGGUAUUGUGGGAAACUAGUUGAUGUUGCAAGCUUGUUCAAUACACUACCAUUGAGCAGCUUUGACAUAAAACUCCUCAAAGAUAUGGAUCUAUUCGAUUUGAAACCCAACGGUGGCGUAGAGGUCCAAAGGAACAACGAUUGUGCAAGUUUUAGCAAGCCAAGGCGCUCCAAGGUUCUCUCUCUCUCUCUCUCUCUCUCUCUGCUAUGUACAAGUGCUUAUAAUAUGAUCUCUAUGGCGUAAACAAUUAGAUUGUAAUCGCAGGGAACUUUUGAAUGCGGCAUAAUUAGCAUUUUUGUGCACGAGAGCAAGAUUCCAGAUCGGUUCAAUUACAGGUGGAUGCCUCCAGAUCGGUUCGAUUACAGGAGCAUGGGUAACACUGUGUUCUCUAUUAUUGUUCCUUCACAGCCUAAUAUCAAGAUCGUAGGUUUAAAUGCAUGUAUACUGUAUGCCCGGCAAUCGGAUCGAAGCCCUGUGAUUCCAUUUGGGAUUCCAUUUGGAAACUCUCAUGCCCAUUCGCUUGAACUUAGGAAUGAGACAAAGGGCCUUAAGUGGAACUUAAGAAUGUCGACUGGGGUUGAAUGGAAAGUGAUGAACGAAGAUAUGUUAUGGCUAAGCCAUUGGAUUAUGGGGAACAAUGAAUUGGAGUGCGGGGAAAAAGUGUAUUUUAGACUAACCGAAGAUCAUGACGAUUUAUUCACAAAGGGGAUUGGAGUCCAGUUUGGGUACGAGCAGCAAAAUAAGGAUAAGGAGGAUGUCCCAUCAAGUAGUGAAGAUCCAAUGAUCCUACCUGACAGAUCGCCUUGGGACGGCGGUCACGCUUCCAGCUGGGUAACGGAUUCAUGUCAGAGAUUUAUCGGGCCGAAAUGGAUCGAGAACCUUAAGAAGGAAUCUAUUUCAACUGUCGUGUGCGCGGCUAAUUACUCUCUCUGUAACCAUGAAGUGAUCGACCUUGAGAACGAGUCCCGCAUGACGCCAUGGUAACGAGUGCUCUAAACUAUUACCCAGGUUAAUUCAAAUUGAUGGUGAUGAUGCACAAAUCACUAAAUUCAAAUGUGUAUUGGUUGUUAAGCUUCGUUUCUAUCCAUUUUCAAUUUUCCCUAAAAAAUUGUUUUCAAUAAAACCUGUUUUGAAGAAAAAUAAAGUUUCAGAGCCCAACUAGAAAAUAAGCCCACGAGUUGUGGUGUGAACUAACUGUUUCAGGCGUAACUGCAUGAAUAAGACACAUUUCACACGUAACUGAAUAAAUAAGACACAAAGUGCAAGAAGUAAAGCUCAUAUUUAGCAGUGUUAUUUUAACAACAAUUGUUCAAGUGGUGGAUUGCCCCGGUGGGUAGGGCAUUUCUCUUAGUCCUACUGCAUUCCGGGUUCAAAGUUCCAACCAUCCCCCGUACCAGUUUAAGCACACCAAAGACCAAAUUUAGCAUGUUCUGUCGUCAUCCACCCAACCCAGCAGAUAUACAAAAUUCAAAUAGAACUUGGCAAAUUCAUCCUCUUAAAAUACAAAACGAAAAUAAUUUAUGAUCACUGACCUCUGAGAAUCGAAUGAUAUUCGGAUUCUUCAAUGAUCUGUGGUUCAUGAUUUCCCCUUGAACAUGUUCAUCCAUCUGCAUCACCAAAAAAAAAAAAUAUUUAAAAAAAAUACAAAAUGAAAAUAGUUUAUGAUCACUAACCUCUUUGGAUCGAAUGAUAUUCGGAUGGUCCAGUGAUCUAUGGUUCAUGAUUUCCCAUUGAACAUGUUCAUCUAUCUGCAUCACCAAAAAAUUAAUAAAUAUUUUAAAAAAAAUACAAAAUUUAAAGGAUAAGAAUUGCGAAGAUUCUUAGGUCUUAGUUCGAAAUGUAAUAGCUCAUCUCACCUCCAUAUAUUACCAAAUCUUAGUCUAUAUGAUUUUGCCAGAGCCACCGAAUGUUGAUAUAUAUCUGUUGCAUGUUCUACUACCAUCAACAUUAUAAAGGUUUCUAAUUGAAUCAUAUAUUUAAAAUCCAAGCAUGAAAGUUUUACAAAGAUAAAUAAACAAAUGUAAAUAACUAAUUAGGCAAUACACAGCAGAGAGGGGAGAGAGAGAGAGAGAGAGCAAUUGAAGGGAAUGCAUAGUUAUCUCUAUCUUCGGAAAAAAAAAAAGAAAAAAAGAGAGCAGUUGAAGGAGUGAGAAGCAAAGCAGCAUACCAAGUGGAGAGUAAGCAAUUAAGCAUAGUCAUCUCACGUACGGAUUGCCUGAGAACUGAUCUUUGCUUCUCUUCCUUAUGAUCCUCUUAAAUGCAAUUCUACACAUUUCUAAACCAAAAUUGCAAAGCAGAAUUCAAAGAAAUUUAAAGAAACCUAGUAAAGAUUCAAACUUUUUUAUUAUCCAAAAGAUGUACAUAACCCCAUGUAACAAAAACAAAUUUAUGACACAAAAGAAAUUAUCUUUAGCCACAAAAAGCAAAAAAGAGAAAGAGAGAGAUUUUGCUUUUUGCACUAUGCAGAAUGUGCAGAGAAUCAAAAUAUCAUAACCCAUUUAACAACAUGAUAUUUUAGGCAAAAAGGCAUCACCUUUAGACCCCAAAUGAAAGAAUUUGAGAGAGAGCGCAUACGUGGUUUCCAAGAAGAGGAAGAGAGCAAUUCUAUUUCCUGUAAAAACGAAGAAACAGAGCAUUAACAAACACACAUGCACAAAUCUCAAAAGGAAAUUGGUAAGAAAUAAUCGUAAUUGAGAAAAUAAUUAGAAAACUAGAGAGGACACAAUUGGAGUCUAAUUCUACAGAACCCACGAGUCAAGACAAACAAAUAUCCAAAAUUAACAGAUUACAGUAACAACAUUCCAACAAAAGUAAGAAGACCAGAAAAAUUAUCUAUUCUAAAGUACAUUAGUUCCAUCAUGCAUAAAUCAAGGGAGUCACGGAAGGCCAGUAUCUUAAGGUAAUCCAACAUGUUAAAGCAUCCAAACAGAGACUCAGAAUUACAAAACGCAUGAAAAUUCACAUUCCAACGUGUUAUGCAAUCACCAAUUUCAGAUCAACCAAAACCAAAUAAAUUUAUAUCAGUACGCAUCAAACCCACCAAACCCAAAAUCAAAAGAAGGUGAUCAAAUGUUUGAUUUUGCUAAAUAUUACAAAAUAAAAUAAAUAAGAAUAUGUACAAAUCAACAUGCAUACCUUGUAGCGGUGCAGGGAACAGUAGCGUGAGCUGCAUCGAGGGCAUGUGUACUGGGAAAAUUGCUACUGGCAGCUGCAACUAACAAAAACAAAAACAAAACAAAAUUGAAUAAAAUCAAAAUUGGAAAAAUUUCCAGAAAAUAAAUAAAACAAAUUAUCAAGCUUUGUUGAUGAAAGAGAGGUGGGGUUGGUGAAGAACAUACAUGCGGCUAUGAGCAGUAGAUAAAAGAUUUCAAAAUGAUUUCUUCACUUUUCAAUCAGGACAUGCACGAAUAUAAAAAUGGCAGAGAGGAUUAAAACCAUACCAAACACUAGAAAAUCAAGUAUAAAAAUCGUACUUACCUUGUGAAUGAGGACAUGCAGACACAUGAUGGAUGAAGGACAGCAAAUCCCGCAUACACGAACCUAACUUGCCAUUGUUCGCCACCCCCACCCCUCCCUAUCUCUCUCUCCCUGCAAUCCCAACGAUUUCUCUCACUGUCAUCCUCCCACUCCCGAAUCGAAUAUCCGCACGAAAUCUCUCUCUCUCUCUCUCUCACUCGGUUUCUCUCACUGUCACCCUCCCACUCCCGAAUCAAAGAUCCGCACGAAAUCUCUCUCCCUCUACAAGCAGCAUGGCCGCUGUCCCUCUCUGUCUGCCCUCACCAUCAAUCCCAAUCCCAAAAUUAAGAUGACAAAAGUGCCCUGCAACCCUUUAAUUCUAGCCGCGUGAUCCUAACCCUAGAUGAAUAUUUCUGGAAUUUGAACACCCAAAGUAUCUCAUCAAAUGUGGAUGUACCUGUCAUAGUAUGAAUCUGAGAAUUUCUCAAUUCAACUCUCGAAUUUACUGUGACAGUAAUAAUAUAUCAUGUGGAAAGAGGUGGGAUUAUGGUAAAAGAUAGAACUUUAGCUGAUGGUAAACAACAUUUGGGAAUUUGAUGUAAGCCGGCUGGGAAUCCCAAAUGUUGUUUACCAUAAGUUAAAAUCUAAUCUCUGAUUAAAAAAAUAAUAAUAAAAAGCACACCUCAAACUGAUAAGGACCAUAAUUUUCAAGGGACACUGCUUUUCAAUGGUUACCAUAAAAAAAAAUAAUGAAAGAACUGAUCAUUUGAAUUAUUCAUGACAGAACCAAUUUUGAUUUGAAAUAUGAUGGCCAAGAACAAAUCACACUGCUUUUCAAUGGUUACCAUAAAUUUUCAGAAGUUACAGAAGAUUUUUUAUCAAUUGAAAAGACAAUGGUCACAUAUAUCUACAAUUAACCACCAGUAAGCGUGAAAUACUACAUCACAAUGCAAUAGCAGCUAUACAGGAUGUCAUGCCAUUCAUACUAUGACAAAUCACAAAAGUGACAAUUAAAGGGCACCUAACAGACACCCCCAUCUCUCUCUCUCUCUGCAAUAGCAGAAAUCCCUCGGGUUUCAGGAAGCAAAUGGAAAACAAAAUGCUUUUACAUCCCCUACCCAUACCCAUACCCCUCCCUUACCCAUUCCCUUUACCCUUGCAGAAAAUCCUCCCAUCUCUCUCUCACCCUUGUCCCAUCUCUCUGUCUGCAAAUCGCAGAAAAGAAACCCUGAACAAAUCACUGAAAUCCCUCGCCUAAAUCCUCCCACAUUUCUCUCAGACACCCUCUAUCUCUCUCUCUCUUUGCAAACCCUAAACCAAAUCUCCUAAAUUCUAUCUCGGACACCCCACAUACAGCCAAGAAGCCAAGAUAUUAAAGCAAUCUCUACAUAAUACUUUGGAACAAUGAAGCAAAAUGGUACUUACUUGUUCCUUGUCCAAAACCGUUGGUGCCGCCGCACAUUGUUAUUAAUUGUGGGUUGAUCAAAUCCUUCAUGGCUUAGACUGCAUGAAGAAUUAGAAACUAAAAGAUGAAUAUAUGCUGUAAAUCAUCAUAUAAAUGUAACUGCAUUUAAAAAAAGAAGGGAAUGAAAAAUUGAAUUCUAUUUCAUCAGUAUGUAACUGCAUGAAAAGUUACAUUGAAUGCAGACUCAAUCAAUUUCCCCAAAGUCAUUGUUAACUGAAAAUCAAUAUCAAACCCAUAAAUACCACCAUUGAAUUUGCGAAACCCAAAAACAAAAUACAAAAAUUUACUCAUAUAAUCACAGAAAAACAUGAAAUUUGAGCACAUAUUUGGCAAAGUUAAAGGAUAAAGGCACUCACAUCAUCGUAGUACUCUUCGGGAAGAACUUCUAAUAAUGGUUCUUCCUUUUUCUUGCUCUUCCUCAGAGCUGCCAUAAAAAAACCCAGAGAAGCACACAAAUUCAGAAAAGAAAAGGUCCAAAACAGCCAUAAAAAAUCCAGAAAGCAUACAAAUUUAUCAGAACAAAAACCAAAUGAUGUGAGAUAGUGAGAGGUUGUGUUAGGCACCCGUAACACGUUUUGGUUUCAAUUAAAACGGCCAGAGCGUUGCAUGCGAGGAAGAUGACGAUAGGAUUCCAAACACAACAUCCACAUUCUUUUUUCUUGGGUGAACUAACCAAAUCAUAUUAUAUACUAAAAUGACAUAAAAAAUCAUUCACAAAAUCACAACAAAAUAGAACAAAAACAUUCACAAAAGAAUUCCCCAAGUUUUCAAAUGGAAAUUAAACAUUUACAUAGCUUAUAUAAAAAGCCGAAAUAUAAAAAUUAAUCAAAAGGUUGAGAUAACUCACAUCCCAGUAAUGCUUAUUGCUGAUAUUAACACCCACUGACAGCAGCCCUCGGUUUGUGGAAUUCCCACGCCCAACUCCAUGACCUCUGUCUCUGCCAUCCCUCUUUCCCUCACAACCAUACCCACUUUCGACCCACCCCUCAAUCCCGACACCAACCCUUGAUUUAAGGAGGAAAAAUCAAUCCAACCACCCUUUUCGCAAGCCUCACUCCUCCCUCUCCCUUCCCCUCCCUGCCAAUCCCAUGCCCAUCUCCCUCGUUGUAGCUCAGCAACCCACGUUUUUUGGCACCAAACACUAUGUCCUAGGAUGAUGUGACAAUUUAUCAAAGUCAGAAAAUGCAUUAUCUCAGUUUAGGUUGGUAGCAUAUAUGAUCCCUGUGCAGCAACAUAGAAUACUUAGUAAAAGUUGCAUUUCUGAGAACAAAUAACCAAUGCUUGACCGAAAAAACAAUGCAGAUGCUUUAGUAUACAGAAUUACAGUUUUAUUCAAGCUUCUCAGUCACAAACUAACCUUCCUUUGUCGAGCAGCAAGGAGGAGGGGGAGAAAAUUGAUUCCUGGAGGAGCUUUUUCGUUCAAAACUAAGUCAAGCUGCAAGGACGAAGGGUCGAGGAUUGUUCGUGAGCUGGUGUUGCGGAUAUAAACAUAUAGAAAGCUCCACUGUGUCAUAACAAACACAAAUUGAAUAUGAUCACCAUGUCACAUUAAUUACCUAAAAUUCAAAAUGUUAUAUACAUUAGUAUGUUGAAAAAAUUAGUUACAUUUCAUUAAACUAAAAAAUUUACAGAAUAUGAGAAAUAAAGAAUUUGUAUUGUUUAUAUAAAAAUAGAAUAACAAAGAACAUCAUUGACUACCAUUUUAUUCGGUAGUUUCCUCCAACUGCAAUUGUUGAGAUUGUAGGAGAUCUUCGAAUAAAGCCUUCAAUUCAACCAUCCGUACACAAACAUAAUAGACAAUGUUUUUUAGCGAAUUAUGGACAAAGCUUAAUAUUCAAAUGCAAUGAAGUGGAAAACACAAUCCAAUAUAUGGAUAUGCAUGCUAUAGGAAACCAUUCAUUUGUAGAUGGUAUUGUGUCACCAAUAUUGUAUUUAAAAAUCUACCCAAGAUAAAGAUGCAAUAUAUAGUUUGGUAAAAAAUCAAAACGAAGAGUUAACAAAGGAAAAGGAUUAAGACGUUGAAAAUACAAAACUGGAUUCUUUUAUUUGGUAAAGACGGUUCCCCCACUGGCUGUCUGAAACCACAAACACUUUUUACAUAGAAACUUUAUAAACUAAUAGAUUAAAAUAAAUCUAAGUGUUAUAAAUGAAAAAUCCUGGGAUUGAUAGUAAUGGCAUCAACAGUGCCACCACAUCCCAAAUAAAUGAAUGAAAAUAUAGUGAUUAACAUCCAACAAAGAAGCUCAAGCUUGAAAUAAACCAAGGCAUAAAAGCUUACCAAACUUUUCAAAUGGCUAAAUUGUUCAUUUAACAUGAUAACUUCUUCCUGCAAUCCAUAAGUAAGACCAUUAGAUGCGGUAAACAAAACAUCAUACUUCAUAUAUGGCAAUCUAGCAGAGAAACCAAUUGCAUUCAGAUGGAGCCUAAUUUGUGGAACUACAUUUAUAUGCACUGAAAUGCAUUAUCAUGUUGUCAUAUUUAAAAACUGAGGUUUAUGCAGUAUGCUAUCUUUAGCAUACACAAAAUUUUUGCCCCUCAUUUUUGAAGUUCCGCACUUCAUAAUUUAUAUACUUUCAGUUUCCCUUCUAAUGAAGGUAUGGACUGCUUUCCAUUUGGAAUUUUCGUAAGACAAUGUUAUGAUAUUCCUAAUUUAGAAUGUGUUUCCACUCUAAUGAAUGCAAGCCCUAAAUCAUAAAUAUUGUACAAUUAUGUGUUUGAGCACGUGGCAGGGCAUGAGAAUCAGAACCACUCCGUGUUGUUCUCCGCUUCGUGAUUUGGUCAUCAAACAAUACUUCAUUCCCUCCAUCCUUUAUCACGUCUUCUUGGUGAUCAUUUGUCCAUCUCCAAACUGUAUCCACAAAAAACUACAAAUUAAUCCCAAAAACAAUCAUACAAAAAAAUUGCGGAUUAGAUUUGAUUACGUACCAUUUUCCCAGGAUGUAGAGCUCAGUGAUGAUGCCCUCCUCGCUUUGCACCUUAAACAUCGACAUUUUAAACCAGAAACCAAAAUCAAACAAACAUAAAGAAAUACGACUGACAGAAUCACACUGUAAGACACCACUCCCUCGCUUCCACGGUUCCAACCACAACACCAAAAACAACAAUAACAAUAAUAACAAUGUACACUCAGACAAAACAAAAAUGCACCACAGCCCUCCAGUGCUAUAACAGCACUUCUCUUCUAGGACAACUUUGAUAUCUAUGGACUGUUCCCUUCUCCAUGUUACAACGAUAGUAUUAGAGCUCUUACAACAUCACAGAUGCAUGACCAAGAGUGUAUUCGACAACCUUUUCUCUGAUCCUUUUCAUCAGUUGGUCCUAAAGAUUGUAUUCUUCUAAAUUCAUCUUCUUUUUGGGUAUCCAGAGACAUUUAUCACUUCAUAUGCCGAACACAAAACACCUAACAUUUUGGGUGACAAAUUAGAAGCAACUAAUCGGAAUAUGGGUACUGAGAAUUGAAUUACUCUUUGUUCUUAUAGUCCUAAUGGAAAUUACUCGUUGAUUCACAAAAUUAAUCAAACUAAAAUGCAAGAAAAGCAAAAUCAACAACCCAUACAGAAUUAUGAAAAGAUCCCAACAAACCAACCAAACAAUUAACAUUUAAAAAAAAAAAUUGCAAAGUUGGAGGGAAAGAAGCACGAGAAAAAAUAUACACAUCCAAUGCUUUUAAUCUAAAGCUAGAAGUAGGAAUAACUGAGUAAGUUAAUGAAGGCAAAGCAGAGGGUAGGAAGCAGAACAUACCAAGAGACCAAUAGGGCAUCCGGGCCGGUCUGCCGAUGAACGCCGUGUCCUGGUCGACAACGCCCAACGGCGUCGGCCCUGCAAAGAAGUAAAAGUCGAAAACACUCCCAAUGACCUUGUAGGUGAGAGAAGUCCCUCUGUAGAACACAUCCAUGCCAUUGCUGUUGAUCAGCAUAACAGAGUGCGCGUAAGCCUCGUUGCCCACAUUCUGGAGAUCCAUGUAAAACCGGGUGGGACCCGUACAAAUCAGUGUUGAGAUUGAUCGCCGAGACUUCAGUGGUGAAGAGGGUGUGUGGAUCGUUCGGGUAGAGCUUGAUCCCGUGCGGCUGAGUGUUCUCUCCGAGGCCGUACAGGGAGGCGUCUUUCGGCGGUCGGGUGGAUAUCUCGAGGUACUGGUCCUUAAACACCAGUUCGCCAUAUGGGUCUUUGGAGUAGGAGCUCAAAUGAAGAGGACCUGCCCGUUGGACUUCCUCUUGAAGGCGAACCCAAAUGGGUCGGAGAUGAAGCUGAGAAUGAGCUCAGAGCCGGAGUAGUCUGAGACUUCGAUGGGGUUCUUCGUCUUCGCCUGAAACACGUUUUGGUUUCAAUUGAAAAGGCCAGAGCCUUGCAUGCGAGGAAGAUGACGAUAGGAUUCCAGAGAUAGAGAAAGAAGGAGUAAGACGACGGAGGCGAGAGAAGGAAGACGGCGGCAAGAGGAGGAUAGGACGGAGGCGAGACCAUCUGUAUCGUAGGUCUGUGAGACGUACAAGGCAAGGAGGGUUUGAGAAGGAAACGGAAAAGGCCUGCUUUACCAUUGCUAUUCCCUUCCCGCGAUCAUCAAGGCGUGCGCAACAAGAUCAGCGGCAGAGAGAGUCUGUGGCAAAUUUGUAUAUAAAUUGAAAUUCAUCCCAAAACAUUGUUCAUUUGAAUAAUGCAAUUGGAAUCCCUUCUUUAGACAAAAGUAAUUUUUAAGUAGAAUGCCAACUUAGAUUUUGAGGAAAACUAAUGAAAAUGACUUGAAAACUUUGAGUUUUAAUGAUAAGGACAAAAUAAAUGGUAAAGUGAAUAGUAUCAUAAUUGACUUUUUAGUGUAAAAAUAUGAUUUUUCGUUAAAAUGAAUAUUACCGCGGGUUUUUCAUUAAAACUCCCUAGAUUUUAUGCAAACCAAAACCUUACCAUUAUUCAUACUUGCCAGAAGGCCUCAGAAGUCUCCACUAAAAUGCUUCCCUAAGCACAAGUACAUAAUAAUGCCACUGACAACUAGCUCGUCGAUCACCUCAGCGCUGCGGUUAAUGCUUUCGGCGCCACUUUUACAUUUCACUCUUAGUAAGAUGAGAUGAAGACGGGUUCUCAGAAGAUCCAAUUCCGGUAUCUCAAUUCAAUUGCGCAAUUGUUCCUCGUUGUAACUCGAUCUUGAGUAUUGUACAACCAUCAUAUUGCCAACAGCCUUUGAGUCCCGACUACAAGCAGAAGCAUUUACCAAGUUGUCACAAGGCCCGUCAAUACUGGCAGUGUCAUCAGCGGAGGAUGAGUGAUUAAUCGUGCUUCUGUUCUUGUUUUCAGUUUCCAUUCUAUCAUUUUCUGUAAUGACACCUAGAGUUUCAGCCGCUUCAACCACUUGCGAUUCAACAGAUGUCUUGCAAAUAACAGCGGGAUCAAUAUCAUGGCUGUGGUAAUCAUCAGGAUGAGUUACUUUGCAUUGCUCUACAAACUCCAUUGUUGAGGAAAGGAUAUUCAUGUCCUUGUCCAUCGUAUUUUCUUGGCUAUUUCUAUUUAAGAUGUCAUCCUCAAAUCCGGUUGGAUUAGUGCGAGCAUCAUCUGCAGGAGACAGGUCUUCAUCUAUCUGUUAAACAAUGACCUGUGUUUGCUUUCAGAGAAGACACUGCUAGACACAACCUCGUCAACAGAAUGCAACCCUAGUGGGGAAAUGCAGAUGAAAGAGGGAUCAACUUUUCAUCGCCAGUAAUUUCUUCUCCAUAACUCUCAUUACAUACGCCAUUUCCACGUGCUACCACAUUACUCGGUUAGGUAGCCACUACCUUUGGUUCUCUCAGCAGCUACAUCUCCAUUACCACAGUUAUUCGCAUUUGGAGAUAAUACUUCCUCAUUUAUUGGAUCCUCAUUUACUAAUCCUUGAUCUCGAUUGGCAAAAGAUGCCACAUUUAUAGUGGUAUCAUUGCUUUCCAAAUUAACUAGUCCACUUAAUUGCUUCUGUACAAAGACUGCUAAAGAAACAGCAUGAUCACGAAUCAAAGAAUCAUGAGACGGGUAGUGUAGCAUAUCGAUCAAGGCCUUAUGGUACUGUGUGGCAGAUAUUAAUAACUUUGAGUAUAUGUUCACACAGGUUGCCCAUUUCUGCCCAAUGGCAGUUGCAAAUACCAAACUCGUCAAUAACUUUUGCACGAGUACCUUCUAUGAUAAUAUUGCAGUUAAGAAUCUUCAAAGCUUUACGCCAAGAUGUUAAACCACUCGCCCACUCAUCUUUCCAAUAUUGUGCAAAAUCAUCAUUCUCAGAAUAUUCAUCAAGCCAGAAGAAGGAAUGCACUUUUGUACCCAGCUUAUUAACCAACCAAUCAACUCGUUUUUACACUCUAGGUUUAUUCUCGUUCAAUAACCUAAGCUUUAGUGGCUGUGCUAGAACUCCAUUGCCGCAGAGGUUUCCUAGCUAGCAAGAGGAAGAGUUUGUAGUGCAGAUACCCACAUCCCUGAGUCAAAAGACAUUUUUCUUGUGCGAGUUAUUCAAGAUAAAGCAAAAGAAAAUUAAGGACCCUGUUUAAAGAGAAGGGGGUGAAGGAAUUAAACGACACACUUGUUACUUCGUAUCAUAAGGCAAAAUAUACCUCUACUAAAGAUGAUAGUAACUUAGCUAAUUCUAGGAUACUAAGUUGCCUUAAAGUAAUCUAUAAAAUCUUAUUCAUCAAGAAAAUCUUCUAUGAAGUCCUCAGACAAACGCUCGGCUCCUCGUUGUUGACAGAUGUUAUCCACUGCUUGACGAAGCCUUCUUGACAUUGUAGCUCGCAUCUCAUUGUCCACACAUUUCUUUACUAAGUUUGUAUGCCAUGCAUGAGGAACCCGCCAAAAGCUUAUCAACACUGAACACUGAAAUACAUCCCUGAGUAUAAUGAAAUAAAACUGUCAGUAUCAAGUUUGGGCGAGGACUGAGCAACCAACAGGAUGGUGAGCACAUCAGCUAGAGGAUCAUCCACUAUGAAACUAGCCAACUUCCAAACAGGAUCUUUCGUUUCAAUUCUAUUGUGAAGAGCUCUCAUCCAUUUAUGGGCAUUGGAACUUCCAAACUUUGGAGCCACUAUCCACGCCACCGGGAUAGUAAUAAUGUUGCAUGUCACAUCCCGGCCCGGGACAGAUCACUUCCCGGGCCCACUCCACCACCAUAGCACGAUAUUGUCCGCUUUGGGCUUACCAUUCCCUCACGGUUUUGUUUUUGGGAACUCACGAGCAACUUCCCAGUGGGUCACUCAUCCUAGGAGUGCUCUGGCCUCCUUCUCGUUUAACUUCGGAGUUCCUAUGGAACCCGAAGCCAGUGAGUUCCCAAAAGGAGUGAGUUCUCAAAAGGCCUCGUGCUAGGUAGAGAUGGGAAUAUACAUUUAAGGAUCACUCCCCUGGGCGAUGUGGGAUGUCACAAUCCACCCCCCUUAGGGGCCCGACGUCCUCGUCGGCACACCACGGCCAGGGUUAGGCUCUGAUACCAAUUUGUCACAUCCCGGCCCGGGGCGGAUCACUUCCCGGGCCCGCUCCACCACCAUAGCACGAUAUUGUCCUCUUUGGGCUUACCAUUCCCUCACGGUUUUGUUUUUGGAAACUCACGAGCAACUUCCCAGUGGGUCUAUCCUAGGAGUGCUCUGGCCUCCUUCUCGCUUAACUUCGGAGUUCCUAUAGAACCCGAAGCCAGUGAGUUCCCAAAAGGCCUCGUGCUAGGGUAGAGAUGAGAAUAUACAUUUAAGGAUCACUCCCCUGGACGAUAUGGGAUGUCACAUUGCAACAUGAACAUAUUCGGUUUCUCAUUAUUAUUAACAAUUGUAGUUAAUAAUAAAAGGUUAAACAAACUAAACGGACCUUCAAUUUGGUUGUUCCGAACCUUGAAUCAGAAAGCUAUAAGGCUGUGAUUGCCGAAGCAAAUCAUCUGUUGCAACUGCCACUCUGUUUGAAUGCCCAAAGUGAAAGGGUCCACAUAAGAGAAAUCCUAAUAGAAGAAAACAUGACUCUGAUGGUUUUCUACCCACAUGCUAAUGCUAACCGCAUCAUCAGCAUCCAAUUCAUAUAUAGAGCAUCGAAUGACCCUCUCCUGCCUCGAACAUACCUAUAGGUUAAAAGGUCAUCACGGUUAGAUGGACCACCCUGUUUCUCUACAGAUUCAUCGUGUCUCUGCAUUAUAGUCUCCACAGAGACCCCCGCAUAUAACAAAGAUUGUACACGAAGAAGCAGAUCCUCAGAGAUACAAGGGGCAAAUAUAGCACGUGUUCCAGCAGCCAUCUUAUCUUGUGGACCAUGGCAUGGCACUCAUUUCCUAUCUACAUGCUUAUCCUGAUUAUAUAUGAUACGCGCCACUAAAGAAUACCUAGAAUACCAUCAACCUUUGGUUUGUUAGGCGUCUAUGGCUGCCGCCGUCGCCUCGCUUCAACAUGAAAUCUUGUUGGACAUUCUUUAUUAGAGCAUUCACCCCUCAGAAAAUCGUCAACUCUAGGAAACGGAAUUAGAGCAACUCCAUCUUUCUUGUCCCGCCAACCUUCCACCUUUGACCACACAAGAUCAGAAGAAGAAAACUCCAGUGCAGGUGGACUCUGCACAGGAAGGGACAUAAUCUCAUCCCAUCUAGCCAUCUACAACAAAUAAAACGGAAAUGACAAAUUUAAUACAAUAGUCAUUUUAACAGAAGAAUCAAGACCAAAAUCCCAAUAGUCACACUCACACCUAACCCUUAACUAUUAGUUGAAUAAAAGGUUUUUCUAAUCGAAAAAAUGAACAAAAAUGGCGGAUUUUGCAACUGGCUUCGUAAAAUCACACGUUAAUAACAGUAAUAGAGGUCCUUUUUACUCUAAGCAGUACAAAAGAAAGUCAAAAACUUCAUAUCUGAUAACAAGAAAACAAACAAACAAACAAAAAAGAAGAAACAAUUUAAUUCAUGCAAUACAUUUCAUUCCCAACAAGAGAAGUUCAAAACUUUAGCAAACAAUUAAACUGAUUUCGUCUCUGUUUUCAUAAAUUCUCAGAAAUUAACAGUCGAAAAACACAAAUUAAAGGAAAAAAAAAGUGAAAUUCUUUGGGUUGUCAAAUAGAGAAAUUAUAUUCACACACCCAAAAUUUCUUCCACACAUUUUUAAUUUUUAUUUUAUUUUCUACACACUACUAACACUUGAUAGAAAAAGAUUAAAAAAUUAAAGGAUGUGAGGGAAGUAAUUUAGGAUGUGUGAAUAUAAUCUCCCUUUUAGAUAAGUGAAGUCGUUAGCUUCAGAGUCACACAUUGAGCUAUAUCGAUAUGUAUAGUAUCACGCCCUUUAUGCAAAAAGAUCCCCAUUUUUUCAAAAAAAUGGGGAUUAGGUGUAGGUCCACUCCACAACGAACUUUAAUGAUCUGAAUCGUUUAUUUUGUAAGGAACCAAAUCCCCUGCGGAUCCCUAAAAACUGAGCCUUCUGAGCAAAGAAUUAGGACAAUUGAAAUUUGAUCAAACGGUUACAAACAGGGCCCCUCUAAAAGUUAUAAUAAUUGUAGUCAUUGGAUUAAAUUUCAACGGCCCAAAUUCAUUGCUCAGGGGGCUCAGUUUUUGGGGAUCCAAUUCCAAUUUGUAAGUCUCAUUUCAUAGAUUAUUCUUACAAGAAUUCAAUUCAAUCCAAAAUCAUUUAUCUAUUUUGUAAGUCUCAUUCCAUAAAUGUCAUUAUAUCAUCAUUUCACGUGCUACCACAUUAUUCGGUUCAGCAGCCACUUUACCCUUGGUUCUCUCAGCAGUUACAUCUCCAUUCCCACAAUUACUCAUUUGAAGAUAAUACUUCCUCAUUCAUUGGAUCCUCAUUUCCUAAUUCUUGAUCUCGAUUGGUAAAAGACGCACAUCCAUUGUGGUAUCAUUACUUUCCAAAUUAGCUAGUCCACUUAAGGGUGCGUUUGUUGCACUGGAAUGUCUCGGAUUGGACUAGCUUUAGGAACUAAGCUGGAUUGUCUUAGAUUAGCUUAAUGAAGCAUUUGAUGCAGUAUCGGACUAAAAAGUAGGAUAAAAAUUAAUUUUCCUUUUUUUUUUAUCCAAAAACAAAGAACUCUAUCUGUCUCUCCAUUUUCUUUGGUCAAACUAUCUCUCCUCCUUUUUCUCCAUCUCUUCCAUUUUCCUUUCCCGUCCAAUUCCUUUUUCCUUUUCUUCUCGAUCACAAAUAUACACAGUUCACAUGCAAACCAAUUUUCCAUCAGACCAAACAACACCCAUCACCUGCCUUAUCAAUCCAACAAAAUUCCCAAACUUUCCCACCCUAAAAUUUGACAAUUCCAUUCAAAUUAAACAAAAGUUAGAGCUGGAAAACUGAGGAAAGAAAAAGAGAGAGAGAGAGAGAGUAAACGGAUCACCAAUAGUAGGAGGCGGCAACGCCAUAUAGUUUGAGGACGAGCAGUAGCGUAAAGGAGAAGAGGAGGCUAUGGGCCGCCAAGGCCUGCACGAACUUCAACAUUCUCCGCUAGUUCAUCAUCAUCGUAAAACAAUGUCGUCCGCUGCAAAAGUCGAGACUUUAGAUUGUGAGAAAUCUUAGGAGGAGGUUGAUGUUUCAGUAUACGCCAUUGAAACGAAAGAGGCAAGAAAUAUUCUUUCUCUCCUUCUUCUUUUUCAUCGUUCGGGUUGACCUAGAUGGCAAAAAAUCCCAAAUCACCAACCCAGAUGCCAAAAUGGCGCUGGGUUUGCAGGACGAUGGAGAUCAGAGACAACCGUUUCUGGAGAAGGGGGGUUAAUGCUACUCAUGUGGGUUCGUAGGACGCUGCUCGCAUACCAGGGAGACGGGACUAGCAAUCCCGUUGUUUUUGGGGGGCCUCGCUAAGACCUCCUAGUGAGGGAUUUAGUCGAGGCGAGUCCUCCUUUGUCCCAUUUACCUUUAGUCCCGCCAGUGAACAAACAUGGAUUGCACUAACUUUUAACUUAAGCGUCGAGUGAGAACUAAAGAAGGCAAACAAACACCCCCUUAAUUGCUUCUGUACAGAGACUGCUAGAGAAACAGCAUGAUCAAUUGAUUUUGACGGAGUUCUUCAGCUUAAUUUAUUAGUUUUGGAUUACAUUGCUCUUGUUUAAACUUUCAAGUAAUCUUUUUCCAUAUGAUUACUUCUAUUUAAGGGCUCAUGGCUUGGGAAUUGUUAUGCUAUUAUCACCUAAAUGCUCAUGUAAAUUGAAUUCGAUCAAAUUUUUACUAGAGUAGUCGAAUUUCUAUUAGAGUUGUUCUUAGUCAUGUUUGAAUUGCCAUGUUUAUCUUAUAUUUUCUUGAUGCAAACCUGGUCAUUUUUUUAUCUAUGCAUCCAGAGCAACAAUCAUGUGAUUUCUUGACAAUGAAUUGGACUUGUUUUUUUUUUUUUUUUUUUUUUGCACUUUAGUUGUUUAUAGUAACAAAUUCACUUGAUCAAUUGAUAUGUUCUUUCUGUAUAUAUAAAAAAUAUGUGCUAAAAUUCUUAAGUGUGUAUCAAUACACACACACACACACACACACACACACACACACACACACACACACACACAUAUAUAUAUAUAUAUAUAUAUAUAAUUGUAUACACAGAUGGUUAAGAAGGAAAGUAAUGGGGCAAGUGGAUCACAACUGCCAGCUGUAUGGAAUGCUCACAAUACAUCACUAUUUUGUGACGUGUGUAUCAAGGAAGUGGAGGCAGGAAAUCGUCCUGGUACCCACUUUAAAAAAGAGGGAUGGGAAAAUGUGAGUAUUAACCUAAAUAAAGAGACUGGAGAUGAGUAUAGUAAACAACAGCUAAAAAAUAAGUGGGAUGCACUUAAAGAGCAAUGGAAAUUAUGGAAAGAACUAAAGGGAAAAGAAACUGGUCUAGGAUGGAAUCCCAAGCUCAACACCGUUGAUGCUUCGGAUGAGUGGUGGCAUAAUAAAAUUCAGGUUUGUAAGCUUCUUGUUAGUUUCUGGAUGUUGUUUGUCUAUUAUUGAGCUUGAAUGCAUUUUAAUACUUGUUUCUUUAAAUUGCAGAUCAACAAAAAAUAUAAAAGUCUGCGUAGAAAAGGAAUUAGCCCUGAUAUGGAAGAUAAGCUAGAUAGGAUGUUCAUGAAUACCACUACUGGUGAUCAUGCUUGGGCACCCUCGUCUGGUGUACUUCCAUGUGAAAAUAAUGAUGAAUCUGAUGAGGAUGAUGGCAUUCAAAUUGACAGUAGUGAUUUUGAUGAUGUUAUCCCACUCAAAAAUACUCAAGCCGAUGAGAAGUAUUUGGGGAAGAAGAAAAAAAGAACUCAACAAUUUGAUACACAAGUUAAGAAAGAGAAUAAGGAUAAAGGAGUUGUUGCAAAGAAGGGGAAAUUGGGAGGUGCUGCUAAGUUGUCAGAACAGAUUGAUCGUAUGGUUAGUGCAAUUGAGAGUAGAAAUACAACAACUUCAAACAUGGCCAAGGGCUUACAAAAUAGUAGCAUUGCUGAAGUGAUGAAGAUAGUUUCAUCUUUACCUGGUGCAGGGCCUGGGAGCCCUUUGUGGUUAUUUGCAACUCGAUUAUUUCUAAAACAAGAGAAGAGAGAAAUGUUCUUAACUAUAGAAGAUCUGGACAUCAAGUUUCAAUGGCUUAACUAUGAGCAAGCUGAAAAUUAAGUGCCAUGUGAUGCAUUUAGUUUGCAAAGUUUUAUAUUUCGUGGUAGACAGUAUAGUCUAAGAUAUCUUUAAACUUGAGUUUAUUAUUUUGAUUUGUCAUUUGGGAUGGUUACUUGGAUUUCUUUGUGUUUUACUUGGGAUUAUAAUUGGAUGGUUUUGGAUUCUUUAUUUAAGAAUAAUUUUUUUUCAUGCAUGUACUCCUAUUUGUAGGAAUAAUGAUGAGAUUUUUAUUUUUUUUUCAAAAUUGCAGAUCUCUUUCAAGAUAUGGACAUCUUGCAAGAUGAGGAAGAGUUCAACCAAACUGUAUGCCUUUGUGUUCGUACUAUAGAACAUUAUUAUCAAACAUAUAUCCACAAAACACCUUGUAUGGAUUCAUCUCAAACAGGAUAUAAGUGGUUAAUGGAAAUAUUACGGGGAAAGAGGCGUUGUCAUAGGAUGUUCAGAAUGGAUAAAGAGGUAUUUAUGAGAUUGUGUAGUGACCUGCAAAACAAGUAUGGAUUGAGGGGUUCAAGGAGAAUGUGUCCUGGUGAAAUGUUAAGAAUGUUUUUGUUUAUUCUAGGACAAGGUGAAGGGAAUAGGUCAGCACAAGAACGAUUUCAACACUCCGGCGAGACUGUGAGCAGAUACUUUAGUCAGUUACUUGAUAUUGUAUGCCUUAUGGCUGUUGAUGUUAUCAAACCACUGGAUCCUAUGUUUAAUGGUGUCUCUGCAGAGAUAUUAAGCGACUCUAGAUAUAUGCCCCACUUUAAGGUAAAAAAAAAACUAGAUAUGAUACUUCUUGCUUUGUCUUAUGAAUUAAGUUAUAUUUAUUGAAAAUUGUGUUAUAAUAUUAUUUGCAGAACUGUAUUGGUGCUAUUGAUGGUGUACAUGUUCAAGCCACAAUACCUCCCGGAGAUCAAAUACCAUAUAUUGGCAGGAAAGGGACACCAACUCAAAAUGUAAUGGCCGUAUGUAAUUUUGACAUGCAAUUCAUCUUUGCAUGUGCAGGUUGGGAAGGAACUGCACAUGAUACAAGGAUAUUUUUAUCUGUUUUACGAAACGGUGCUUUAAAUUUUCCUAAGCCUCCUAAUGGUAAUGUCUCAAACUUGUGCAUAUGUUUGAAAUUUUGCAUUUGAUUAGACACUUUUUAUAGUUUCUUUUUAUAUCAUAGUAGCAUGUUUUGAACAUUACAGGAAAAUAUUAUCUUGUGAAUGCUGGGUACCCACAGAUGAGCGGCUAUUUAGGACCCUAUAAAGGUGAAAGGUAUCAUCUUCCUGAUUUUCGUAGGGGCAGAGAACCAACAGGAUCUAGAGAGGUAUUUAACCACAUACACUCUUCUCUUAGGAGUGUCAUUGAACGCACUUUUGGUGUAUGGAAAAAGAGGUGGAGCAUUUUAAGAGACAUGCCUAGUUACUCAUUUAAGAAGCAAGUAAAGAUAAUAAUCGCAACUAUGACGCUUCACAAUUAUAUAAGAAGGUAUGCCCGACGUGAUAAUCAUUUUGACAACAUGAAGGAUGACUUGGAUGAUGACACAAACUCGGAUGAAGAACAAGAAGAAUAUCAUAUUACCGAAGGACCCGAAGCACAAGAAAUAGAGACAUUGAGGAACAACAUUGCUGCAAGUUUGAUGUGUUCGUAAUUUUUUUUAUGUAUGCUUAUUUUAUUUUAUUAUUGUUUGAAGACAUUGAAGAAAAUUUUAUUUAUUUAAUAUUUGUUGUUUUUUUUUAACUUUUGGCAAUGCAACUACAAAUGUCAAAAUAAUUUGAGGGAAAAAAGAUUAGAUAUACUUGUGAGUCAUCUUUUUAACCAAAAAGUUAAUAGAAAACUAUUUUUCUCAUUACUUUAGUCUAAACUAGAAAAUGUGCCCGCGCGAUGCUGCGGGACUUAAAUGCAUCACCUUUAACUACAUGAAUAAGAUACAUUUCACCUAAAUAAAUUCAACACAAUCAUGAAUGAAGAGAGGAAUAGAUGAGUAAAUGGGGUCGGUAAGAUAUGCAACUUCGUUUUUAUAUACAUUGAACUGAACUCACAUGAAAAGACAUUGUACAAUGAACAGGACGAAACUGAAUGUUUUGGUUCCCUAAACUGAAACCCCUUGUCUCAGACACCCAACACCUCUCACCCUCAGAUAGCCCUAAACGAAGUGCCUCGUAGCAUCGAAUUGGCCUACAACACCCCCGAGCGAGAUUGAGACUACUUUUCAUAUUUUCAUUUUAAUGUACCAGCAAGGAAACGAUAGUAUAUUCCAAAAUUAGCAGUUUACAGAGAAAUAUAAAUAUUGUUUUCAAGAAAUUAAUAUGAUUGCAAAUGUAAUAGCUCCAUGCAUAGUGAGGUAGGAUAAAUGAUGGAAGACACACUGAAAUUUGAGGUCCAUAGGUUGAGAAGAGUCCAUAGCAUUGAUCCAGAUAUGGAUAGCUUGCACAGAUCUACAAUUCAAGCUCCGAAUAAAGUAUCAAUUUAUCAGCAAUUGUGACAUUCAUUAUUCCUAAAAAAGUUAUUGAUUCACAAAUAAACAAAUGAAAGUAAUCAGAAAAGAAACGCUUACCACAUGCUAGCUGAAUCCGAACUCAAAAUGACCACGAUAUUUUCCCAGCAAUGAUCACAAAGAGAUUGAUGCUUGGGACUUCUGUCCAUCCCUGAAAACAAUGGAAUAAUAUACCCAUUAAAAAACGUCACAAAAAGAUUUACAGUAACUGUCCCAACUAUUAUAAUUAUAUGGUCUUAUUGGCAUAUUCAGACUACAAAAUAAAAGCUGGCAGUUGUUUGCACUCGUAAACAAUUUCUCUUUACAAAACUAAAUAAAUUGUAAUGACCCAAGAAAUCAAAAUUUGAUUAGGCAUUAGAAACAAUGUUACCUUUUGGAGAAAAGGAUGCUCAACCAAAUGGAAGCCCAAAUUUAAAACAGCAACUGAAUGAAAAUCUGACGUUAUAAAAUCCAUAAGAAGCGUGUAAUGCGUCUAAUUUAAAAAGUCUCUCACACAUGUAAUUGCACGUAGGACGCCAGAUUCAAAAAAAAAAAAAAAACCUUGAAACCAAAGGACUGCAAAGGAUUGCUUUGUCAUAGAAAGUAAAAGAAUAAAUUGAAUCAACUGAACAUGCUUCUUGCAAACAAAGAAAGUAAAAUACGGGGGAACAAAAUCACAAAUCAACAUAGGCAUCUCUUAAGAAUUUAAAUAACCAAGAUUUUGAUGAACUGAUUGUAAGCAUAUGUGCAUAGAUGUCACUAUUUACAUAAAACAUGUAAAGGACAAUCAGUUUUGAGUUUCAAAAUAUAAAAUAUUAAAAUUUCCAUAAAAGAUAAGUAUUGGGAAACAAAGUUGGCAUCUCACCUUCCACAAUAGGUCGACAAAUCCUUUGAUUACGCUUUAGCUUCUUGUUUAACUGAAACACAAAUUCAUUGUUCAGAAUAUCAUAAUUUCAUGAAAUGGUUCACCUUUGAUUACGCUUGCUGCUUAGUGACUUGAUAAGUCGGUCACAAAGAUAACAUGUAGAAUGCAAAUAUGGAUCAGGAAAAAACAACAGCUAUAGAAUUGAUUAUAUAGAAGAAGAAUACAUACUUAUUGUGAGGUUAUCCCAGCUAUCCACUAUGACCCAAUAUAUAUAGCAAGUAAAAACUAUGGCAGCAAAGAUCUCACGUAUAUAAAUCUUGCAUAAACUUUGUUUUUGUACAAUGUCUUCUCCCUUCAAUGACAGUUUGUUUCUUAUUCAGGAAAAUAAAAUGAGCAGGUUAAUGAUACUCACAUGUGCAAAAUGCUAAUCCUAUGGUCUAAAGUUAACUGAAUUUUUUAGUGUAAAAUACCUAAUUUCACUGCAUUUCAAUUGAUCACAGUUCGUGCCUUGUUAAACUUGAUAUACCCUUAGACAUUUUGGGAACUUGACAGCUUAAAUUUUCUUUAGUUACAGAUGUGCUCAUAAAAGCAAAUUACAGCGACCCAAUAUAUACUAAAAACUUGGAGAAGGGACUCAAUUAGUUAACGAACAGGUGCCUCGCCUUUCAUGUUAAGACCAAAGAGAGAAAACCAAGCCGAACUCUUCAAAAUUCAUUGGCACACAUGCAUCAUCAGCUCAAUUGAAUGGAUAAUGCAUACUUAGAUACAACCAUUCAAACAAUUGAUGUAGAUUGACAUAAGCCUCCAAACUUCAAAAAAAUUGAAACCUUAUAAAAGCAAAACCUUUUUUCCUUCAUAUUUGAACUGUUUCGAUUACCUUAUCUCUCUAUCACUUGAUUCAUUAUUUCUAAAGGAAGUUCUAAUCACUACCAAAACAGCUUAAUAACAGUUGAUUAUCUAAAAAAAAAAAGAGGGAAAACAUGAAAUACUAACUGCACUCAAAAUCCCAAAUGUGUAACACAUGAUUCUAAUCUAAACCCUGAUUCUAAAAUUUAGAAUUCGACACAAAAAUGAAAAUUGGAAUGAUUAACAUGGAAAUGAGAGAGGGAGAAGUGUGAGGGAAUCUACACAUGAGGGCUUCGGAUCUGAGUCCAGAGCUGGAAGCGGCAGAGGUUGCGAACUUAAGAGUAUGGAAGAGGCGGGAAGGAUCCUUGUAAAAACAAUAAAAAUUAAAUAAGAAACUCGCCGGAAACUCGGAAAACCUCGUCGAAAAAACUGGACAGCAACUUACCUCGGAUUCACCUUUAACUCGUAACAAAUCUUUUCACAUUAUUCUCUAUUGCCACUUGUACUUCACUCAGUACUAAUCGAUAUAGCUGAAAGUCUGAAUCAUGAAGAAUGAGAAGUUGAAGUAUAUCAAAUGAUAAAGUUGUCAACAAUGAAGAAUGGGACAUUGACCAUGGAGACACUGCAAGAAGCAAAAGUGAGCAAAUUAAAUAAAUACCAGCAUCAACAUUUAGAAAAAAGUAAGAGCAGCAACUAUAAAUGAAGAAUGUGCAAUCAACAUUAAAAGUGUAUAAUAGGAACACGGAUCUCAUAACUAAAAGACAUUUUCUCACCAAACAAUGGAAAAUAAUUGGAGAUGCAAUUCAAUAAAAAAAGAAGUUAGCACUUGCUUAUUGCCUUCCAAAGAAGCUAAUGAAUCCAUCUGGUUGAAGAAGUGUUUAGCAUUGCCAGUAAAAACAACAAAAAUCACAUCAAAUUUCAAAUUAAUCAACUCAAUAGCAUGCGUACCUUAACAUCUAGAUGACGAAACAUUGGUUCCUCGAACGAAUCGUAAAGAUCACAAACACAAAUCAUGAAUUAGAGUUCGAAUACGCAUCUCCCGAUUUGAAACCCUAACGUAAUUCCCCACUUGGAAGAUGCAACCUUUGGGGUUCUGGCUGCUAGGGUUGAGAUGUUAAACCUUUGACUAAGAAAAUGACAUUGGGCAGCAUAGGAUACAUACUGCUCCCCCAGAUAGACCUGCAUGAAGAUUUAUCCACCAUCACAUGCGAAAAGGAAGAUGGUCAGUAUAUGUGUUUUAGUAAUCAAUCUAUAUUUGAAGCAAUGAAAAAAAAGCAUAUGACAUGAGCUAUCAUAAAUUAAAAUUAUCAACAAUCUCUUCCCAUUACGAAACAUAGAGAAACUACAAACCAUAACAAAUACAUUGAAAUACGCAAAUAUGCAGCAAAUCCCUCAAGCAAUUAAGAAAAAAAAUGCCUCUUAAAUCAGCAACCAAAUUCAAAUUAACAAAUGUCUCCAUAAAAGAAGUAAAAUGGAUGAAAAGAUACCUGGCUUUUUCAAAACAAUUCAAAUUCCACAACAUUUCAUUCAAAACAGUUCAAAAUUCAUAACCCCUCAAGCAAUUGGGGCUGUAAGUUACGUAAUCGGAUGGCUACAACCAAACGAAGAGCUUCAAUCAAUUAAAGUCAACAAAAUAUCAAUAAUUAAUCUAAAAAAAAAAAUUAAAUAAAUGAACACCAGGGGACUGAGGAAUGCUACUAAACAUCAGUAAGAACAGAAACGAAUAAUUUAAAUGCUUGAGCUUCAAUGAAAGCAUUUUACCCUUGCAAUUUUCCAAGAUAGCGGAGAGGCAAGAUGCACAUGUAUUAGUGAGAGGAUUUUCAAAGAUAUUGAGCACUUCCAAUCGAGCAGAUAGCAAAGGGCAUUCGCAAAUCUGAAGAUUGAAAUUAUUGAUCGAGACAGCCAAAUGAAUAGAGAUAUAAUCAUACAAUCCCCAAAAUCCAAAUCCAAAUCUGAAACGCCUGAUCCGUUUCUGGAAAAUGGCAGAGAAAAAUAGAAGAACUACGUUUUUAGAUGACCGGAUUGAAUUUGAGGCAGAGAGAGGGGGAGAGAAAGAGGGAGGAAGAGAAGCAGAAAAGCGAUAGAACAAAAUGGAAGACGCUUGAAGGGUCUUCCUUACCAACGACGUGAAAUCCAAUUGCCAUUUCAAGCUCCCUCAAUCACGACCUGUAGGAAAAUAUCAAACCCAAACAUAAGUUCACUGAAAUUCGAAUUCAAUAUAAUCAAACACAAACAAAAUAGCAAAAUUAAAAUAAAUAAAAAACUAAACUAAACUAUAAAUUAAAACUUUCAAUUGAAUAACCCCACAAUUUAAAUUACUAAACAGUAACAGAUUUCUCUGAGUAAUCAACUUCUCGAUUAUGGUCAUCGAACACGACAUUCUCCAAAACUGCCAAACACAUGCAACCAUAUUUGAUAAGAAUUUGAAAUAUCACUCCAAUCAUGACACAGAACAUAAACAUUUUGCGCACUGUCAUUUUUAAAGUAGAACGUUCAAUUAAAUCAUGAUGUUAAGUACCAGUCCCAAAUUUGAUAGCAUUCCAAAUAUCUGGUUCCUUGUCCAUUGACAAAUCAAUGCACUUGGCAUAGCAACCACCUUCAAUGUUUGACACACCAUUGUUGCCCCAGCAGUGCUCAUCAUCUCCAAUUAGAUACCGAUUAUGAUCCGUAGACAGAGUCGUCUUCCCAGUGCCUGCAACAAACAUCCCAGGAUCAGUUACACGAACACAAAAGAAACUGAAACACAAAAGAUUGAUGUAUCCAUCACCAAUUGAUCAUUGUACACAUAAAAUUAUCAUGAUUCAUACCUCUGCGUCGAUAUGGAAUUUUAUAAACUGGACAAAUGGAACCCAAUUUCAUCGACUUCACGGUGCAAGUGCUGUAAAAAAAUAAGCAAACACUGGCAAUAUGAUCAAGCACAUUCCAAGUAUUAAUACAUCCAAAUAAAACCUAACAUUCAUAUGCAAAUAACAAUGAAGGUAGAGAUUACUUGUAAGAGAUGAUUGCAAUUGAGUGAAUCCGCAGAACUCAGUAGACUCAAACUGCAAAACAGAUGGGGAAAAAUCAAACCCAUUAACAGAGUGAAGAAAUUUUUUAAAUCUUUAAACGAAUUCUGGACAGAAUCAUGUAAAGGGUCUGUUUUGGCUACCGAGAAACUUAGUAUACAUUUAAAUAUUAUUACAUGUUAAUACAAAAAUUUAGCUUUAUUCAGAUGGGAGAGAUCAAAGGUUGCAUCAUUCAGCUUCACACAUGGCUACAACACAAUUUCAAAAACUCUUGUCAUCUCAAAGUCACAUUCUUUAUCAAACUCCCACUCCAUAAUCGAACAGAGGUUGAUAACGGACAAAAAGAAACACAAAGUACGAAAUAUAAUCAAUAUCAUCAGUCAAAACUUACUGCAAAGGGUGAGGGGUCAACCAUGUGAUUUUUUGCCCCUUAACCUCGGCCUGCAUGGACAAACAACGGAAGAAUUCAUACCCAAAUAACACAAUAACAUAAAAUGGCAGGAAUGUAAAUAAUACAAAAUCGAGGGUCCAACACACGUUGAUAUGUCAUCGUGGUUUCCAAUUGAACCAUGAAUUCCAGAAUGUAAAUCAUACCUUGAGUAUAAGAAAACCAGAAAAGGAAAAUUAAAUCCCUCACAAAUGGUGGAAGAAAAUAUGAGAAACCUAUAUUAGUCCCAACGGUGUGAGUUUUCAUCAAAGAAGUAGACAAUCCACACGCUAAAUCACCAAUCAAACAUGAAGAUGAUCACAAAGAAGAAAUCCCUAAAACCAAUAUUUUAUUAGAGUUGAAAAUCGAAAUUAAGCCAAAACGGAACCGACACUACCCAAAUUAAGCUAAAAAUUCACUAACCCAACAUAAAGGCAAAGAAAAAUCACCUCUAGAUGACUGCCAUUGAUUCAAUGCAAAGAGAGCUCAAGCUGCUUAAUAUUGUUCUGAAAUUAGAGAGAGGGUGUGAGAGAUCAUGAGAGGACGGAGGGGCGAAUGGCGGAGUGAGAUUCAGCGCGUCUCUUCUCUGCAUAUAAAAGAUGCCGCACAAUUAUGCAACUUACUCCAUAGACUUAUAAACAUCACAAUUAUAAAUUCUGAAACUGAUAUAAAUUGAAUAGAAAUACACAAAGCAUAAACAAAUUCAGCAUAUGAACACCAAAACUUACCAAACUCAUGUGCUUGCUUGAAGCUGUUUUUGAUCAUUUUUCUACAAUCUACUGCAUAAAAAGGACCAAACUAUAACGGCAAACUAUAUAUAUAAUUUGCUAUAAUACCCAAAAAAAUUAAAUUACAUUAACAUUUGAGUGGAAGCCACGACCAAAGUGGUAAAAUUGAAGAAAACAUCAAAAUCCCAGAAAAAAAAACAAAUUCUUUCAGAAAAAAUCAAAGAAAUUUACUCAGGUAAUCAAUCAAUUAUGUACCUAAUUCCCCUGAUGUCUUGAAUAAAUAUAACACUCCAAGAUAAAUUAACUACCCAAUAUUAAUUUUUCCUGUUUCUUUCUUCUUAUUCUCGGGAAAGAAACAAACCCAAAACAAAUAAUUGAAGAAAACAUACAGAAAAUAUUGGGGAGGAGUAACAUACAAUCUGCUGAGUUCUUAUUCGCUUUGUAGAUAAGAGAUGGUGGCUUCUCAUCGAGUUCAUGUAUGUAUUGCCUGGAGUGAGAUGGUGAGCGGGCGUGAGAGAAUAGGGCAGUGAGAGAGAGUCGGGAGAGAAAAAGAGGGAAAGAAAUGGCGAUGGAAACGGACGGAAACGUAGUCGAAGCAGAGCAAUCCACGAUGAUUAACGCGUGGGCGCUCUUAAACUGUGCAAAAGCAGUGGUAAUUUUGUAAAUAAAUCGAAAUUUUCAAUUUGCGGUGAAGAGAUGAUGGUAAUUUUGUAAAUAACUCAAAAUCCACUCCAAGUUACUAUUCAUUUGAAUAGUGCAAUUGAAAAGCUUUCUUUAGACAAAAGCUAGAAAAAAUGCCCGCGCUUCGCUGCGGGUUUUGAAACUAUUAGCCAUAAUAGACGUGAAUAAUUGGCACGAAAAGAUGCAUUACAAAGGCGACACAAAUGGAGUCAUGUCCUAAAAUGAACCAGUGCAGAUGAAUAAUUUGCAAAAUCACAUUCAGUUUCAUUUCUAUAGGUCAAAAAACAAAGAAAACAUGUAUAUUAACUUGUCAUAUUUUAUAAAACUAAAAGCAUGGACAAUUCAGUGCACCUUGGUUGCACAUUUGUCAUAUCCAGCAGCUCACAUCGGCCACCCCCCACUGGAAUCCAAGGCUGAGGGAAGCCAUCUGCGGGAGUUGUCAUCUGAAGCACCACUCUUAUCUUUGCCUUUGUCUGAUUUGAUAUGUUGCUUACUAUUGCAUGGAUGCCAAGUAGCUUCAACAGCCUUCGAUGUACACAUAUCUGAAAUGCGGUCUUGUCCUACUGUUAGAAGCAAAGAUAGGAGCCCUAAUAGCAUAUUCUCAAGAGCUUCAUAGAGAGCUCUUUUGUUUCUCUUUGUCAACCACUGCAAGGAUUGCAAUUCAAAUUUAAUCAAAAUAAUUCAUUUCACAUUCAUAAUAAACCCGAAAGUGACUUGAUAAGAUGAAAUUAACCCAAUUACGUGUGAAAGGAAACCUUUCCAAUUAAAUGAAUGAAAUAUUUGAUGUGGAUCAAAACCAAAACCAAAUGAAAACAAAUAUCGACAACUGCCCAAGUUGGUGUUUGCCCCAAAGGUCUUCCUCCUCCUCCUCCUGCCAUCCUUUAAUUGAAACCCUAAUUUUCCUUACUACUAAAUAAUGCUAUUUUCGAUCUAUUUCUUUCGGUGUGUAAACUUUACUAAUUCUCGAUAAUUUUCAAUCACUUCCACUGUAAUUAAAAUAAGUACUGAGUAUAUACACACUCAUAAAAACACAAAUUCAGUUUUCCAUUCUAAAAAAUGAACGAAAGCACAUACUCCAAGUCAAUGUUCCUACUAUAUUCAUUAAUCCAACGAUGCAUCAAAUAUAAAAAUUAAAUUAUACCUCUAAUUUAUAACCUUUUGAUCUUGCUUCAUCUGCAGCUAAACCAAAAUUUGGACAAUCCCCAAUAUAAUUCCGUCAAAAUCCACAUAGCAACACCAUGUAAGAAUCAUAUUGGGUGUCUACACCCACACUUAUCAAUGUACACAUAAAUUUGAAAUCUGAAUCACUUGGGCUUCAAAGAAGGCCAAAAGUCUUUGUAUUCAAGCAUUUAAUACUCUACAGAAAUUAACUAAACACAGCCACAUUGAAUACCAAACCCACUUACUUACCAUCUUAUCCAACUCUUAUUUCGUAAAUUUUUCUGGUAAAGAAGCGUAGUUUAUCCUGAGCUCUGCAAUAGAAUAAUUCAAUUCUUCUUCAUUGCUUUUCAAUAGGAUCCCUACAAUCAAACAAACAUAAUUACUCUAGUAAAUAACUUCAAUUUAAAAUGCAAAGAUAUAACAGAAAGGAAAGUGAUUAAUUAAAAAAUAAAACUGUUAAAACAACAGACUGAUACACUUAACAUGCCAAUUUAUAUACUAUAUAACAAUACUAAAUCAAUUAAUUUAUAAAGAUUAGAAAUGGAUUACAAAAAGCAGAAAUCUUAUUUGGCAUGUAUGAAAAUGAUACACACAUUCUUAGCCAAUCAGCAUGAAAAAGGUAUAGAAAACUAAUUUACUUUGUUAACUUUGGACAACUGGAGAGAUGAAAGAACUCUUAGUUUUUACUAUAAGUAUGACAACCAUGUGAUUUCAUUGUUAAUUGGGACUGAUGUGUGUCAUUAGGAUUGCCAAAAUUAGUGAUCUUAGAGUUUGGCAGCCAAUGACCGAAUUGGACUCAAGUUUAUCAACAUUUGAUUCAACUAAACUAAAUUGGAUACGCUCAUUAGCAUAGAAAUAUGUAUACCAUAUGACAAUAUUGAAUCAAGUUAUUUGCAAAGAUUUAAAAUGCAAUGUAAAAAGGAAAAAAUUUAUUUUAUAUGUAAUAAAAUGAUUAACAAAUUUUUUAUUGAGCAGUAUAAAAAAGGUAUUAAAAACUAACCUAAUUUAUUAAGUUUGGAAAAAUUGGACAGAUAAAAGAAAGCUUUUAAUCCUUACUAUAACUAAAAUAACUAUGUUAUUUCAUUAUCAAAUAGGAUUCAUACGUGUAAUCAGGGUUAAGAAAAUCACUGAUUAAAGAAUCUGCCAGAAAUCAUCAAAUUGGACUUGAACUUACCAAUUUCUGAUUCAAAUAAACUAAGAAAAGGAGUUGGAAUCAAACUAACCUCUGUUUUCUAUAUGCAGCAAACUGCAUCUUGUUUUUGCCCUUGUUAACAACAUAUCUUCGCUCUGUACACACCAAAAAACAGUAAACACCUCAUUCAUUACUAACAGCCAUUUCAAUCAAUUAAUUAUUUAGACAAAUUUUUCAACGAUUCCGAAGCUCAGACAAAAAUUGCAUGAGAAAAUUGAGAUUAUAUGCAAUUGGAUGUCAAAGAACCUGAAAAUACCAUAUAUCCAAUAUUUAGUGCAUACACCUAAAAACUAAUCUUUAUAUAUACUUUAAAAUAAUACAGAUCAAUGUAAUCUAAAACAUUGGAAAUGCAUAUCAGUGCAAGCCAAGGUCUCAAGUUCUCAGAGUGGGGAAUUACUGAUUAGAACAGUUAAUUCUCUGCUCCUUUUUGGGUAUGAACUAAUUAGCAUAGUAGCCAUAAAAAUACGAAACAAAAGCUCAAUAAUUUAUGCAAUUUGGUUAAAUUUUAUACAAUUUCUAGCAAAACCCAAAACUCAAUAAUACAAAAGGAACCCAAUAGAUGAUUAAAGCAAUUUUAUACACAACUUAUGCAAGUCCAAAGAAACGCAUUUGAUCAAACUUACUGAAUACUGAAAAAAAAAAUUACAAUCAAAGUACGGAUUAAUAACUACCUCAACAACUAACAGAGCCAAAGCCAAACCCUAGAGCUUCGAAGGGCAGAGACGAUCACAGAGACAAGAAUAGUCCUUAUUCCUUCCCACUGCUGCUGCUGCCACUUUCUCUCUCUAAAAACCAAUUGGAAAUUGUUUAUAAAGAGACAGAGAGGAGAGGGCUAUGAUGAUUGGAUGAAAGAAGCAUGAAAAACUAAAAGACAUGUAAGCUUGAAUUCGAGUCCCAAAUUGAAAAUAUAAGGGAGGAGUGUAAGGGUGGCUUACCGAGGUCAGGAGAGGUGAGUCUCAUAGGAAAAGUCGACGAACAGUGGCAGGAGCCAGUGCACAGUGAAAGGCCUCGCCUGUGUCUCCUGAACAGAACAGAGUGAGUGAUAGUGGUUCUGUGAGAUGGAGCGAGUGGUGGUGGUGCUGUAGUCAUGUUUUGCCGGAAAAUGGAGGCUUUGGUGCGCCUCGGUGUUUACAGAGAAAAGAAAGGGGAGUCCAGGGAGCUAGUGGUUGUUUGAUGGAGUUGAGGCUCGCCGGAGUGGCGAGUUGUGAUGUGGACUCAGGCCUCUCGGCCUCUGGGUUUUACGGAGAAGGGGAAGAUGGUUUAGGGUUGAGAGAGAUGGAGGGACGGCUAGGUUUUAGAAAAGAUGAAGAAGAAUGGGGGUGAGCAGCGCUGGGGCUACAUGUUGAGGGAAAUGAAGAGAGAGCAAGAAGAAGUCGAAGGCAGUGAACCCUACGGACAAAUUUACCCUUCUAAGUUAUAAUAAUUACCCUUCCAACCCAGCCCAAAUCUGAUGGGUUCCUUGUAAAUAAGGUGAAAUCAAGUGGCAAACAAUUGACUGUAGCCAUGAACAGUAAGGAACAGUGCCAAUUGAAAAGCCUUCUUUAGACUAAAGUAAUAAGGCUUUUCAAUUGCACUAUUCAAAUGAAUAGUAACUUGGAGUGGAUUUUAAGUUAUUUACAAAAUUACCAUCAUCUCUUCAUCGCAAAUUGAAAAUUUCGAUUUUUUCACAAAUUACCACCGCUUUUGCACAGUUUAACAGCGCCCACGCGUCAGUCAUCGUGGAAUGCUCUGCUUCGACUACAUUUCCGUCCGUUUCCAUCCCCAUUUCUUUCCCUCUUUUUCUCUCCCGACUCUCUCUCACUGCCCUAUUCUCUCACUCCCGCUCACCAUCUCACUCCAAGCAAUAGAUACAUGAACUCGAUGAGAAGCCACCAUCUCUUAUCUACAAAGCGAAGAAGAACUCAGCAGAUUGUAUGUUACUCCUCCCCAAUUUUUUCUGUAUGUUUUCUUCAAUUAUUUGUUUUUGGGUUUGUUUCUUUCCCGAGAAUAAGAAGAAAGAAACAGGAAAAAUUAAUAUUGGGUAGUUAAUUUAUGUUGGACUGUUAUAUUUAUUCAAGACAUCAGGGGAAUUAGGUACAUAAUUGAUUGAUUACCUGAGUGAAUUUCUUUUAUUUUGUCUGAAAGAUUUUUUUUUUUCUGGGAUUUUGAUGUUUUCUUGAAUUUUACCACUUUGGUCGUGGCUUCCACUCAAAUGUUAAUUUAAUUUACUUUGUUUGGGUAUUAUAGCAAAUUAUAUAUAUAGUUUGCCGUUAUAGUUUGGUCCUUUUUAUGCAGUAGAUUGUAGAAAAAUGAUCAAAAAUAGCUUCAAGCAAGCACAUGAGUUUGGUAAGUUUUGGUGUUCAUACGCUGAAUUUGUUUAUGCUUUGUGUAUUGUCUAUUCAAUUUAUAUCAGUUUCAGAAUUUAUAAUUGUGAUGUUUAUAAGUCCACGGAGUAAGUUGCAUAGUUGUGCGGCAUCUUUUAUAUGCAGAGAAGAGACGUGCUGAAUCUCACUCCGCCAUUCGCCCCUCUGACCUCUCAUGAUCUCUCACACCCUCUCUCUAAUUUCAGAACAAUAUUAAGCAGCUUGAGCUCUCUUUGCAUUGAAUCAAUGGCAGUCAUCUAAGGAUGAUUUUUCUUUGCCUUUUUGUUGGAUUAGUGAAUUUUUAGCUUAAUUUGGGUAGUGUAGGUUCCGUUUUGGCUUAAUUUCGAUUUUCAACUCUAAUAAAAUAUUGGUUUUAGGGAUUUCUUCUUUGUGAUCAUCUUCAUGUUUGAUUGGUGAUUUAGCGUGUGGAUUGUCUACUUCUUUGAUGAAAACUCUCACCGUUGGGACUAAUAUAGGUUUCUCAUAUUUUUUUGCACCAUUUGUGAGGGAUUUAAUUUUCCUUUGUGGGUUUUCUUAUACUCAAGGUAUGAUUUACAUUCUGGAAUUCAUGGUUCAAUUGGAAACCACGAUGACAUAUCAACGUGUGUAGGACCCUUGAUUUUGUAUUAUUUACAUUCCUGCCAUUACCAAAAAGCAUGGGCUGCAGAGAGAGAGGGAGAUAGGCGGGGGAUGGCAGGGAGGGGAAGGGAGAGGGAGGAGUGAGGUUGCUAUAAAAAGGGGUUAUGGUUGAUUUUUUUUUCUCCUCAAAUCAAGGGUUGGUGUCGGGAUUAAGGGAUGUGUCAAAAUUGCCAAUAGAAGCCUAAAUUAAUGGGUAGUUGUCGGUGAUUGAGAGAUUGAGAGGGAGAAAAUUGGGGGAGGUUGUCACUGACCCGAUGGAGUGAGGGAUUUUGUGAGGAUUAACUAACUUAUUGACUAGGAACACAAGACAAGACAUGCUUCCGGUAAACCGCCUCCGUCGCUUUCCUCCUCUCGCCUCCGUCUACCUCCUCUCCCUUUCUUCGUCUCCCCCUCCUCCUCUCUCUCUCUCUCUAUGGAAUCGAUCGAUCUUCGAAGAGGAUAAAAAGAUCUGAAAUGGUGUGCUUCUUCUACUGUGAUUCUGUGUUUUUAAUUUUUCUGGGUUUGGCUUCUUCUUUUAUUCCACUACUAAUUUACAAAAAUAAUGAAUUUUGUACAUUUUGUUUUUAUUUUACUUUUUGUUAUAUUUCAUUGUAAUAUCAAAUAGAGUUGGUAUUUUAAAAUCUCACUGCAAUGUUUUUUGUUAUAUUGUUGGUGGGUAUCUUUAAUUAUGCCCUGAUGGAGAAAGGCAAAGAGGACAGACCUGGAUUUGGGGCAUAAAAGGGAUCUUUAGAUUUCUGUGAAAGUACUUUGUGCCUUUUUGCUAUUGGUGAUGAGUGUUCAUGAAUAUUUAUGCUUUAAUAUAGCUGUUACAGGAGCAAGUUGUUUAGUUAAAAUCCUAAGAAGAUUAGGGUAAAACAUUCCGGCUCUCUCAUUAUUGAUAGUCUGAAUUUCUGCAAUCUCUGAGAUAUAUUUGGGAUAGUUUUAUAGUGAUAUACAUCAAGGUUCAAGAAAAACUUUGCUGCACUGCACUAUAGGAGUAUCUGGUUGAUGAAAUUUUUCUGAUUUAAGCAUUUAGCUCCUCGAUUGCAUUAAAUCAGUAUUUAAAGAAGUUUUUGUCUGAGAAUGCAUUGAUAGAAUUUUUUUUGCCCAAAAAUUAACUCACAGAGCUUCCUGUGAGUUAGUCUUAGCUUUUGAUUUAAUUUUUUUAGAAUUAUUAUCAUUUUUUUUAUCUCUGCUGCUGUUUUGGAUUUUUUUUAAUGAUUUUUAUGCGAUGUUCAUCUGUGUAGGCACUCAAAUUAGUGUUUUGGAGUGCAUAUGGACCAGACACCACAAAAGAGAAAACGGAAACCAAAAUCAGAGCCAUCAAAACAAACAAAUGCUGGUAUGUCCUAAAAAAGGUUGGUUUGUGCACUUUCAAAGAAUACAUGGAAGAAGAUAAUAUUGAUCAUGGUGUAGAAUGUGAUGGUAAUGUGGUUGAAAAAGAUAAAAUGUUGCACGAAAAGAUCUCAGAGCUCAUUGACGAAAAUAUGCAGCACCAGGCUGAGUUGAUAAGGAGAAACAAGGAGAAUAGUGAAACAAUUGAGUGGCUUUUAUCCCAGGUGCAUAAGCUAACGGAUGAGAACAAAAUUUUGAAGAUUAAUCUGGGAAUCCAUAAGGAUACUACUGAUCAUACAAUUGCAAUCCAUAAGGAUGCUACUGAUUAUACAAUUACAAGGCAAAACAAGCCUCAGUUUUCAAAGUCUAAGUCCAUAGGGCCAUCUUUCCCUGGAAGGCUCACUGGAUGCCUAGAACUUGGAUCUUAAUUAGCUACUUUUCAACUUUAGUAGGUAGCGUUAUAAGUUUUCAAAUGUAUCUGUUUAUAUGCUUUCAUAAUACAUGUGAAGAUUCCGAGUCAAUUAUAACAUAUUUUAAUUUUUAAUUUUAUGAGUAUAGAAAAGGAAUUGAAUGCUUCGUUAUUUUGAUCUUGCAGCUGAAGCCAAGUCUGGAUAGAGAGAAAGAUCUCAUGGUAGGAAUCAUGGACUUGAUGAAGGUGAGGUUAACAAAGUGUGCUUUAGCACCAAGAUUGGAAUCUGGGUGUUCUGAGUUUUGUUUUGUUGUGAUUUUUCUAUAAUCUAGAUGCUGAAAUACUUGGAGUUGGAAUUAAUAAGAAUUGAUUGAACAUGGAUUUUUUAUUAGAUUGGUAUGGCUGACAUAGUUAAGAAGUAGUUUAAGAUGCAGUGAUUAGGGCAUUUCUUUAACUGAACAUAUUUGUUUUCAUGAGGUAGAUAGAAUCCUCUGUAAUUUAAUUAAUUAGAUUGAAAUUUGGGGUCUGGAUUCUUAAACUACUAUGGUGGUUAAUGUAGCUUUUUUGGUGAAUUUUUCAAGUGGGGAAAAAGAGGUGGGUGUGGGAUUUAUAUUGUUAUUCUCAGUUGGUAUAUAAAUAUUUGAGUGUGCAAGAAAUGGUUACCAUACAAAAAAUACAAGAACUGAAAUUAGAAGGGAUAAUGGCAGUUUGCAGAGGGUUGGUUCAGGGAUGGUAAAAGUUGUGUACGUGGCGAGAUUAAUGGAGGUGGUUUCGUGGUGGCGUAGUUCUCCGUGAAAAAUGGCGACGGUGGUCGCCUUGCUAUUUCUGUGCAGCGAGCACAGUAUCAAGAGAGAGAGAGAGAGAGAGGUGAGGGAAAUAGGGAGAGUAGUAGAGAGGGAGUGAGACAUGAGGGUGGUGGCAAGCUGGUGCCUUGAGGGAGUGGCGAGUGAGGUGGUGAUAGUUUCUCGAACGGGAGAUUUAUGGUGUACUAGAGAACUUGACUCCUCUCUCAGUCUGGUCUCCGGAAGAGAAAACCAAACAUAGCUAUGCAUUAGCAAAGUUUGAAAUGAGGGUUUUUAAUCUUUGGCAUGCUAUUGUCUUUAUUUGAUCAUUCUUUGAAAAAAAUUAUGAUGGACAAGUGAAAUAAACUGAAUGAAAACUUGGAGAAGAAGUUCUGAUUUUUAAUAUCUUUAAUCCGGGAUUAUUGUGAUGCCCUUUGACAAUUGAAAUGUGAAUGCAUUAUGUUGCUUAGAACACAAGUCAAUAUUUUUUAAACUGUGUUAGGUAUGAUGGAUGCUAUAGAUAGAAAAAUGUUGGCUUAAGGUUGGAUUCCAGGUAAAUAUGUGCUAUCCUGGAUGAUGGAAUUGCAUAGCAUCCUAAGUUUCUUUCUAUAUUUUCCUGAACAGAUUUACUGAAAAUGUUUUUCAAGGAUAUUCAACAAUAACUUUAAUCUUCAGACUUUCUCAUUGUUGCAGUCUCUAAUGCUUUAGUUAAUCCUAUUAGCCUAUUGUUAGAUCAAUUAAAAGAGUGUUUUAGCCUUCUGUUAGUGUUUCAUCUUAUAUACUUUCUCUCAUUGUUAGAUCAGUUGUGAUUCUGUGUGGUUCAUGUUUCCGGGUGUAAAAUUGUUCAUACAAUCUCACUUUUGCAUCUAAUUAGUGAGCCAAAAAGAAAAUUUUUAACAUUUUAAAUCCUAAUUAUCUCUAUUUCAGCCAAUGCAUAUUUUUUCCACCUAAAAGUCUUUGAUGCAUGUCUUCUUUUUUUUUUUUUUAGUAUUGAAACAUACAUUGUUCGAAAUUUGUUGAGCACUUGAAACUUUACAAGUUAAGAUUUGGAAUUUUAUGAUAUAUGAUAACUGCUUUGUAUGUUUGUUGUUGAUUAAGCACGUGGGAUACAACUCGGUCUUAGACACUUAAUAAAGGUUUAUCGUUUGAAAUUAAUGGGGCACAUGUUAUUCUCAUGAUAUUGGCUGCAAAUGCUGCAGAGUGAUUACAGAAACCAACGCAGAAAAAGCUUUAUAGGUAACUUUUACAUUUAUAGCAUUUCAGAAUUCGCAUAAAUACCAGAAAACAUCUUGAAAGACUACCAUUUCAAGUGGAUCUUUUCUUUCAUGUGGAAACCAAGCUUCCUUUUUCUUAACUCAUUCUAUUAAAACUUCAAAUUAUGUUCAAUUUGUUGAUUGGCUGUUAGCACUUAAGUUGAUCUAUUUAUUUCCAAUGUACCCUUUUUUAUGCAUGAGUGCUUUUCUGUUGCAUGUUUAGAAGAUGAAUGCAUCAAUUCUUAGGUAACCUUCUUUUUGUUCUGUGACGUAGGACAGAGUAGGACAGCGGAAAUUAGAUUGUUUAGCGGAAGUGAAACGACAUAAAACUUAAAUUGAAACAUCAUAUGCUUCUGUUUUAUAGGACUGGGGGGGGGGGGGAUAAAAACAGUAUAUUUUGUUGUUGCAUGUUUCAUUUAAUUCAAACUUUCAAAUAUACACUCUCUCUCUUCAUUAUGCACAGUAUGUUGAUGUGAACUGAAUCUAAAUAAUUUGUCUUUCUGUCGAAAAUAUUCAUAGUAUGUCCUGCAUUACAGUUUCAAAACCCACAGCAGCACGUGGGCAAUUUUAUUUUCCCUCUCCCUAUAUGUAGUUUAAUAUAAUUCAACGAGUUCAAAGAGAAUGAUCAGAAUGAAGGUUUGUAUUAGAUCCGAUGUGCUUCCUCUUUCUAUGCAUUUUGGUUCAAAUUAGGGUUUUAGGUUGAAACCCGAAACGAAAAGAGAAUAAAGUUUUCAGGAUGUUCGGAUUUUGUGUUUCGAUGAGAGGAAAAAAUGAGAAAUUUGUUAAGAAAAGUUGUGGUCGGAUUUUACAUGUUUACCGUUUUCAAGGUACGGUGUUCAUCGAUCUUAACUUUAAAUUUGUUUCUCAAUUUUUUUGUAGUUUUGGAUUUGUAAAAACCCUCGAUUGAAUCGGGUGCUGGUAUGGUCCCUUACAGGAAAAAAAAGUUUCAUUUUUUUCCCCUUAAAAUUUUAGUUUUUGUUAUUUUCUUUUUUCUUCACAAAGGAACUUAGGUGGUAGCUGUAUUACUAAUUAGCUACAGAAUUUAUAUAUUCUUAUGAGUACGGUAUGGGUGCAGGUUUGCUAUGUUGCUUUUUGGGAUGAAAUUACUUUAAAUACAAAGGAAAAUUUGAUCGAUAUUAUUGGGUUGUACGCAGAAAUCUAAGUUUUACCUAUUUUGAUAAUGCUUGGUUUUUGUGUAUUGAGUUGGAUAGACAGUUCAUAGGUUUGGUUCCAUAUUUAUUCGGAGAAGAAAAACACAAAGAGGGCAACACAAUAACCCUAGGAUGAUUAUAUAUGGAAUGAAUUAAAUCUAUUAACGAAUUAUAUUUUGGGUGGUGUUAGGGAGAAACGCCUACACUCCAAAUAUUUAUGAAUUGGAUUCAUUAUAAAAUAGGUAAAUUGUAUGCAUUACUUCUUUUGGCACUAAAUCUUUUGUUAAAUUUUAUUUUGCUGACUUUUAGUUUUUGACUUUCCUUUGGCAGGACUUUUAAUUAAGCAUGCAUCUUUGGUGUAAUAUUAUCAUAUUCUUGAGGUUUGAAUUUUUUACUCUUACUUUUGUGACCAUUAUAUGUUUGCGUAUCUCUCUUUUGGGUUAUCCAUCAAUUAAAAAUUAUUAUGUGAGGAUUUUGAUUGUUGACUUAUCAUUGGUAUAUUUCAAGUGGUUUUUGAUAUUUUGAUAGGUGUUGGAAAAAAAAGAUGAAAUUGUUUUGCGCUCAACGCAUAGUUAAUCUUAAAAUAGGGUUUAUUAAAUUGGUUUGAUGAUAUAUAGGUGGUAACAAAUUAAUGAUGUCAACUCCUACAAGGAAGAGGCUGAUGAGAGAGACUUCGAGAGGCUGCAACAAGACCAGCCUGCGAGGAUUAGUGGGGCGCCUCAGGAUAACAAUAUAAUGUUGUCGGCGAGGUUAGUUAUUUUUUAGGCUUUGCUUCUACAAACGUGAACUCUUUACAUGGAAACCGAAUUUUAUGUGAAUUUUAAUAGUUAUAUAUCAAACUCCUCUGCACUGAACUCUGUGUAUUACAACAAUUAUAAUUAGAACUUGGAUGAAAUGGGCUCCAUCCAGCAAAACUCCUGCCCUAACAAUAAUAAUUAGAACCAAAUUUGAUAAUUUCUCAUAGUUUAGGCCAUUUGGCCAAGUCAGAAUGAGAAACAUAGAUGUUUUCUUUAUCUUAUGCUAUUUGUUUGGCUGUAAAUCGUAUGGAGUAAAUCUCAUGGUGUCAUUCUAAAUAAACUGGAAAUAUGUCUCAUGCAAAAUUAAUGUUGAUGUUUAUCAAUGGAAAUAAGUUUUGAAGUGAUUACCUUUCUUUAUACAAGUUCUCUUCACAAUGAAACCUAUAUUAUAGUGUCACUUUUACUUGCUUUCGCACAAAAGGGGUGUCUGGACAUGUAAUUGGCGUGUCAUUACUCACUAAAUCUUUUUUAUCCUUAUCUUCUAUAUUAAUAUCACCAUUUUUUUGGGUGCUCAUUGAGUGGUUUGGCAGGUAAUAGAUAAAGGUUUUAAUGCAUUCAUUUAAUGUUAUUACAGAUCUGCUAAAUUCUUCAAGAAGUCCGGUUUACAGAACUGAAGCUGUUUAAGCACAAGGUGUCCCAGUUUAUAGAUGAGGUAUUAUAAAAUUUAAAAAGCGUCAAUAUUAUCAUUACUGAUCCUUAACAUUUAACUAUCAAAGCUUGAGUUUAUAAUAAUUAAUUCUUCACUGAUGAUAUGUUGUGAUGGGGUUUAGUAAUUUUCAGUAUUCUUCAAUUCUUUUAAUCUGCAAAAUCAAAUAGCCCAUGGAAUUUAUGGCAUACAAUUAGUUUCCUUUCAGUUGGGUUGAAAUGAUAUUGAUUGUGUUGUUAUGAAGCUCCUUUUUAUAGUUAGGUUGAAAAUCAUAUUGAUAGAUUCUUUAUUUGGUUGGUCCUAUCUGUAACAAAUGGGAUUGUUUUGUUUGAUGUUUGAAUCAAAAUUUGAUCUUUUUUUGUGUGAAAUUAUGAUGGAAUCGCAAAUUUGUGAGGUAUAUCUUAGAUUAUUGGUUGCAUAGUCACCUUCCCACAACUAUCACAUUGUCUCUUGACUAGAUGAAUUUUUAUAAUUUCUAGGAUCUACGGUUGCAAUGCUUUUGAUGCAUGCAAUCAGGAGGAUGCUACUACUCUUAUGGAGCUUCUUUGGCAUGGUAAGUUGAAGUUGCAUAGCAUUUUUUUUUCGUUCACGAAAUUCGUUAUCUUGCUAUCCUGGCAAUUAGCAGUGUCUGACAACUGGUGAAGUAUAUGAAUAUAUGUGGAAGUUUGAAUUAUACAAAUGAAAGUGAACUUUUAACAACUCUAACUUAGAAUUUUUAUUAAUUUCUUUCAUUUGUGUUCGACUAUUUUACUUUUUUGGUAUAUAAGUACAACUAUAGAUCGAAAACCACAUAAAUUACCUAACAGCCAAGGAAUUGUUUGUGGUAGAACAUAACAUGAUGUAAAGCUCAAAUUUUGGGCACUUAAAUAUAUGUUUUUUUUUUUUCAAUUACAAUCAGUCAGCAUGAAAGUUCAAUUGGAUUUGUUCUGGUCUCCAAAAAUUUUUCUUUGUUUGGUUACCGAUUAAUUUAUGUGGUGAGAGUUUAGUUUUUGCUUUUCUGCCUAUGUAUAUAUGAUUUGAAAUGGACAAUUCAAUUUUCUAUAUAUAAAUUUGUAGUCGAAGAGUUCGAAGGAGAGGUGAAUUAGAAACAAUGGGGGGAAGAGUGAUGGAGUUGAGGAGUUGAGAGUUAAUGAGGUAUACUUGAAUUUCUGUAUGAUGUCCUUGGUAUUGGGAGAUCAUUGAGACUAACUAUCUGGUUGAUUAAUCACGAUGUCCUUGGUAUUGGGAGAUCAUUGAGACUAACUAUCUGGUUGAUUAAUCACUAAUUUGAACUAUUUGUGCUUGGAAAAUUAGCUACUUGAACAAGUACUGAACGCUUUCUAUGUUUUCUCUUAUUAACUGCUGAAAUAGGUGCCUGCCCUAUAGGACACAUAUUUUGCCUUCUUAACUACAAGGGAAAAAUAUGUGUGAAUUGCAUGUUGCUUAUGUUUCUUAUGGAAACAGAACUUUUUUUGGCAACCAUGUCUUUGUGAUCAAGAAUGUUCAGUUUCUUCCUACUAAUUGUGCAAUGUCUUUACAUGUCAACUUAGUGGAAUGUAUAUAAAAGUCAAACUACUUAUCUUAUCGAUCUCAUUCACUCAUGUGUCCCUCUGUUCAUUCAUGAUUGUGUUGAAUUUUUUCAGGUAAAAUGUGUCUUAUUCAUGCAGUUACGCCUGAAAUAGUGGUUCCCACUGCAACACGUGGGCUUAUUUUCUAGUUAUGUCUAUUUUUGUCAUUAUACAAAAUUUCCAAAAUUUUACAUUAGUAUUUACCAAACGCUUUUAUACUACUUUUCAUACUUACAGCAGUUUUAAAAAUACAGUUUACCAAACGUUCAGCUGCUUUAUUUUACAGCUGAUUAUUCUUAAAGCACAACUGUUGACCCUAAAAACUACAAAGCCUACGUGGCGCGCAGGCCGAGUAAUUAAUGAGCUAACUACGUCCUUCGGUGAAUGCGGGGCGUGCCAACUCGUCGGCCGAGCUCGGCCGAGGAGUAAAUUUGUUGAUGUUGCGUUGGGUCGCGCUACUGACUUCUGCGUCUUGCCAUUGCGGCCGAGAAAGGAACACGUCUCGGCCUCUUGGGCUCUCGAACCUGAAGACAAGGUUACUAUUCUUACGAAGUUCAAAAUCAAAUUCGGCUUUCAAUGUGCCGAAUGUAAUAACUGUAACACCUCACUUCGCCGAGAAGGCUGAUGAGAUGACCUCGACCAAUAAGGAUUUAGAAACCCUUCUCGACCGAGACUUGGAUAGGUAAUCAAUCGUUCUCGCCGCAGUGCUGUUGAUGCCAACGGAAGGUACUGCGAGACCGACUGACUCUACAGUGACAGAGCUAUCUAUGCCGACUUAAGAUAUCACCGGUUGCUUCCACAGUGCUGUUGAUGCCAACGGAAGAUGUGUCAGUGAAAAAGGAAAAAGAAAAAUCACAAGUUGUGAGAGUUUGCGCAGGGCAAUUUUGUAUUGAUUUUGUGGGUCUCGUUCCGUUGCCACUGCCUCUCUAUUUAUAGAGCUAACUUAGCAUAAAACCCGGCCGUGACCAUCAAUCACCACCACAAAUAAUAAUCGUUACGCGAGGAUGAUUAUCCAAUGAGAAUCGUAGCACUCAAAUCUCUUUGGUGCUAACGCAUUUCAGCCAAAACCACAUAACAAAUCAUGGCAUGCCAAUUCCGUCUUUUGCUAAAGAUAAGCAUUGUCGUUCAAAUCCUAGUCCCAAAGCCCUGGCAUAUCAAGCUUUAUCCAUAGGAUAUUCACUUCACCUAUUUGGCAACCUUGAAUUUGCUAAUAAUUAUCCCAUGCAUGCAUCACAUUAGCUUACGUAAUUAAUCUUUCAAGUUGGACUCCACCUUGAUCACCAACUGAUGCCACCACGUGCUAGGACUCUUCUCAUAAUGCAUGAUGCUUAAUCCCCGCGUCGAAUGAUAAGAAUCCCACAUUAAAUCGAACUGUUCUGCUUGCUUCGGUAUAGUUUGCGUCACAUUUAUCUUGUAUAAAAAGUGUCAAGAUAAUUCAUUAUUAAAAGAUCAUUAUUAUGAUUAAAAAUCAUAAUAUUAUCCCCUAACAACAAUAAAAUUAUCUUAACUUUCCUAUCCGACGGUGUGGAGCAAUGCUCACUCAACGGCCUUGAUCGCACGGGCCGAUGAUGUAAAUUGAGGUCCAAACAACAACAGAAGCAGUUUUAAAAAUAAGAACAGCAAUCCCAAACUGGCCCUUAGUCGAGGCGAGUCCUCCUUUGUCCCAUUGAACUUAGUCCUGCCAGUGAACAAACACGGAUUACACUACCUUUUAACUUAAGCUAGUCCAGUGAGAGCUAAAAAGGCAAACAAACAUCCCCUUAAUCGUUUCUGUACAGAGACUGCUAAAGAAACAGCAUGAUCAAAAUCAAAGAAUCAUGAGGCGGCCCCAGCAAGCCCCUCAGCGGCUCUACGUCCCUCCGUCGUCGCGCGACGGAAACAGCCACGACAACUACGAAGACACCGACCUCGACAACAUCGAUUACGACGACAACGAUGGUUCCAAGGACCCCGGGAGUGACGACAACAACCACGGCAACGCUGGCAGCGGUGAUGAAGAAGUCGAUCCUCUGGAUGCUUUCAUGGAGGGGAUUCAUGCGGAGGUGAGGUCAGCUCCGCCGCCGAAGCUGAAAGUGAAGGCCGAGAAGUACAGGGACGAUGAGGAGGAGGAUCAUAUGGAGAGGUUUCUGAGGGCUAAAAGGGACGUGGUGCUCACGCUGGCAUCAGAUGCUUUACACACCAGAUAUGACUCCGAUGAAGAGGUAUAUGCGACCGCCAAGGCCGUCGAUGCCGGGUUGUUGGAGUACGAUUCAGAUGAUAAUCCCAUUGUUCUGGACAAGAGGAAGAUCGAGCCGAUUUCAGCUCUCGAUCAUAGUUCAAUCGACUACGAGCCGUUUAAUAAGGAUUUUUACGAGGAGAAAGAGUCGAUUUGAGGUAAAUUCCAACCGAACUGAGAAUUUGGUUUCUUUCUUUUUUUCUUUCCAUUCACAUUUGUUUUUUAAAUUUUUGUGUGAAUUUAGUCGAAAUGCGUAGCAAAGUAUUUAAAUUUAAGUGGGAGAGAAUAUUGACCGGUAGAAGUUCUCAAGGAGAGAUUUGAAAUGGAAGACUAGAGUUAACUGGUGUUUUGGUUUCCUUGUUUAGGGAUGAGUGAGGAGGAUGUUUUUUAGUACAAGAAGAGCUUGGCCAUCCGUACGUCGGGGUUUGAUGUACCGAGGCCAGUUAAGACAUUUGAAGAUUGUGGAUUUUCUUCACAACUCAUGGCUGCCAUAAAAAAACAAGACUACCAAAAGCCGACACCAACACAAUGCGUAGCUCUACCCAUAGUUCUUUCCCGGAGAGAUAUAAUUGGUAUUGCGAAAACUGGUUCUGGAAAGACUGCCACUCUUGUCCUUCCAAUGAUUGUCCACAUUAUGGAUCAGCCAGAGCUUCAAAAAGAAGAAGGUCCAAUUGGAGUGAUAUGCGCUCCUACUAGAGAGCUGGCGCACCAAAUAUACUUAAGAGUCCAAAAAAAUUGCAAAAUCACAUGGGAUACGUAUCUCUGCUGUAUAUGGUGGAAUGUCUUAAGCUUGAUCAGUUCAAAGAACUUAAGGCAGGAUGUGAAAUAGUUUUUGCUACUCCUGGGAGAUUGAUCGACAUGCUUAAAAUGAAGGCACUGACAAUGCUUAGGGCAACUUACCUAGUACUUGAUGAGGCUGAUCAGAUGUUUGACCUUGGGUUUGAGCCUCAAAUUAGAUCUAUUGUUGGUCAGAUUCGGCCAGACCGACAGACAUUGCUCUUUUCUGCGACAAUGCUCCGUAAAGUUGAAAAAUUGGCUAGGGAGAUUCUCUCAGAUCCUAUAAGAGUUACAGUGGGUGAGGUGGGAAUGGCCAAUGAGGAUAUCACUCAGGUUGUUCAUGUAAUUCCUUCUGAUGAUGAGAAGCUGCCCUGGCUUUUUGAGAAGUUACCAGGAAUGAUUGAUGAGGGUGAUGUUUUAGUAUUUGCUUCAAAAAAAGCUGCAGUGGAUGAGAUCGAGUCACAGCUUGCUCAGAAAGGUUUUUAAGUCACAACUCUGCAUGGUGACAAGGACCAAGCAUCUCGGAUGGAUAUUUUGCAAAAAUUUAAAUCUGGCAUUUACCAUGUUCUUGUUGCAACUGAUGUUGCUGCUCGUGGUCUUGACAUCAAGUCAAUUAAGUCAGUUGUGAACUUUGAUAUUGCAAAAGACAUGGACAUGCACAUCCAUUGAAUUGGUAGAACAGGUCGGGCUGGUGAUAAGGAUGGCACUGCGUACACUCUUAUUACACAGAAAGAGGCACGUUUUGCUGGUGAGUUGGUUAAUAGCUUGGUUGCUGCUGGUCAGAUUGUCUCCACGGAGCUCAUGGACCUUGCGAUGAAGGUAAUUUUGCAUUACUAUUAACAUUUUUUUUUUGUGGUUUAUAUAGCGAGUUUAUACAUGCAUCCAACUACUUGCCUUUUUGUUUUAGAGAUGGUGGUUAUAACCUUAGUUUGUAAUCCUAUAAUGCAUUUAAGGCGAAUACAAGUUAUUAAUAUGUUCUCUGGUAAAACGUGCUCUUUUUAAUGCAAUAUGGAUUCUGGACAAUUACACCUACUGGUGUUUGUCUCACAAAUAAACUACGUUAUCUUCACUCUACUAUAUAGGUGCAUAGGUUGCUUCUGAUUUAGAGUGCGCUUUCGAGAGAGAUGGAUUUGAUGACCAUUUGGUCUUCAAGGCCUUAUUUUGGAAAGCUUUAGUAUGUCCUUGGAAUUACAGGGAUCUUGAGAUCGUUGACUUCAUAACGUCAAGAUAGUCAAUUUCAGGAAAUGUGCUUAGUUUAGGGAGAGAGUAAUUAGACAGUCUUUAGUAGUCCCAUCUUUACUUCAUACCAUGCUCUGCUUAGAAAAGGGGUUGUUGGGGGUGUAUGUUGGCUUGUUGGGUUGUGGAUUGAAGCAUAGAGAUGACUUGAAGAUGAAGCUCAGUCUGGGGACGUAAUAACUUUUGUGUAUUAUUAAGUACUCGCUUGCAUUCUGGGCUACCAAUACAUCGGUUGAGGCCAACCAAUUUGCAUUUAAGAACUAAGAGAAAAAUCGCAUUUUAAGUACUAAAUCUUAAUUACCACAUGGACCCUUAGUAAAUUGUCACUUAUUUUCCCUUGUGCCAAUAUAUCUCAUAGACAUAAAUGCACAGCUUAUCAUGAUAGGUGGCUGCACCUGCAUUAGUUUUAGAAGUUUUACACUAUGAGAGCCACUCAUGCAUCAUUUCUUCAGUCUUGUGACUUUUAAUUCUUGCCUUGCUGCUUGUAGCUUUGUAUUUUAUAUCCAUCAUAAAUACACUGGUUUCCAUCUCCUACAUGGAUGUGCAGUUAUUUUGGGUGCACCUUGUCUGUGGAACUUUUGUUGCUUUCCCUUACUAUGUUUCUUGUUUGAUAGCUUUAGAUGUUAUGUUAGAUUUCAGAUUUUACAUUCUCUAUUUUAAUGGGAUUUACCUUGUUUAUUAUCAGGAUGUUAGAUUCAUAUCAAAAUGUGAUUCAAGAAAAGGAGUUAUAAACUUUAAUCAUAUUAAAAUUUCAAUUUUCUUAAGGUUCUUUUGCAAUUUCAUAUUAAAUAAGCCUUUUUCUACAAUUCAAAUGAUGAUAUUAUAUGGAUUCUGCAGGUGGAAAGAAAGGUAGAGGGAGGGGCGGCGGUGGUCGAGGUGUGCGUGGGGUGGAUUUUGGUCUGGGUAUUGGAUAUAAUACGGAGUCCAAUAGUUCUUCAUCGAAUACUGUUCCUAGUCGAUCUGUUGCAGUAACUCCUCAGAGGACAGGAAUGAUGUCUCAGUUCAAGACUAAAUUUGUUGCCGCUUCAUCUAACUCUCCAAGUCAAGGUUCAGCUAACAGCUCUAGUGUGCCCAACAGACAGGCAUUACGAGGAUUUGUAUCCGGUGGUUCAAUAGGUGGUGAUGUAUAUAGAACUCAGGCAACCAGUACAAUUACUCCUGCUCCUGCUCCAACAUCAAUGGUAAAUAAAACUGCUACUCCGAACACUGGACAAAAUUCAAGUCAGAAACCCUCCGAAAGGUUAAUUAAACUGAUGCUUGGUUAGAAUUUUUUAUGUCUUUACUUAUUUGAUUGGUGUUGAGCAGUUUCAUUUGUGCCGAUUGCAGUUCUAGAGAUAAACCCAGAGAAAGGCGGAGGCGCUCCGUUUGGGACUGUUAACCGUACAGUUGAACUACACCACUCUCGCAUAAUGAAUUACAAGUUUUACUUUUGUUGUAGGUCAAGUCCUGAUAUUCCUAUAUUAUUGUUGAUCUUUGUCACUUUCUUUGUCGCUCUGUUUAUAAGUUAAAAGAAACAGAAGAUUUUGUAAACUCAGAUCGACUUGUUGCACAAAUAGUGGAUGAUUUAAAACAUAGACUGUUCGUAUCAUUAAAAUACGUUAUGAAGUAGAUUCUACAAAAAGUUGUGCCGUGUAAAAAAAAUUGUGAUGUUUCACAUGUGCUCCGUAUGUUAUUUAUAUUAAUCAUUCUGAAUUACAUCAUAACUCAACGACUUGGUAUAUAAUACAAUAAGGCCUUGUUGGAUGUCAAUGAUUUGAUUGGUUAUGACUGGAUUAGAUUGGCUUAGUUUGGAAAAUUCACUAGAUUCAGUGAAUGUUGAAAGAAAAUAUGGAUUGCUAUUUUGUUCAAGUGAAGAUGGAAGAGAAAAAGAAUAAGACAAGUAUAACAAAUCAAAUAUUGACGGAGCAUGCAUAGGUUUUUAAUUACAACUAUUCGUCAAUUGGUGCUUAUAAUUUUUGGUUUUAAAUGCUAUUAUCUCUUAAAUAAAAUAAUUAUGUUGCUUUAGUCUCCUCAUCGUAUUAUACGUGUCGAAUUCGUGUGAAGUCUGGUGGGACAAGAGAGAGAUAAGGAGGUUGACUUUGAUCAAUUGACCUCCUUUCCAUAGCCAUUUUUCUUUACCUUCAUCCCCUUACACAAAGUCCAUUCUUAAGAUCUCUAGUUCUCUCUCAAUGGCUGCUAAAAGUUCCCGAGAUUCUUCUUCGUCCUCUUACCAGUGUUCCUAUCAUGCCUUCUUGAGUUUCAGAGGCCAGGACACGCGCAGGGGCUUUACUGAUCACCUCUAUAGAGCUUUGGAGCUAGCAGGAAUCCACACCUUUAGAGACGAUGAUGAAAUCAAGAGAGGGGAGAAUAUUGAGUCGGAGUUAGAGAAGGCGAUAAAGGAGUCACAAGUAUCCAUAAUUGUCUUCUCCAAGGACUACGCUUCCUCAAGGUGGUGUUUGAACGAACUUCUGAAGGUCGUGGAACGUAGAAAUACUGAUCGUAGACAUGUGGUUCUGCCAGUUUUCUAUGAUGUGGAUCCAUCCGAUGUCAGGAAGCAGAGUGGUACUUUUGCUGAAGCAUUUGCCAGACACGAGGAGCGAUUCAGUACGGAGGAGAUGGACAAGGUGGAGCUGUGGAGAAGAGCUCUUAGACAUGUUGCAAGUUUGGGAGGCAUGGUUUUAGGAGAUCGGUAAUUUCUAUUCUCAUUAUGUUCUCACGCUAAUUGAAAGUGUCUUUUAAAUUAAGUAAAAUUGUAGAUGGCAGUGAAACUUGAAGUUGUUCGCCUAUAUAUACUGCAACUUUGAUUUAUAUGUUCCUAUCGAUUCAAAUGAAUUACAGGUAUGAGGGGCAGUUCAUCCAAGAUAUUGUUGGAGAGAUUAGAAAUAAAGUGGAUCACGUAGCUUUAGACGUCGCUCCCUUUGCAGUUGGAAUGGAUGCUCGUGUGAGACGCCUAAACAUGUGGUUACAAGAUGGAUCAAAUGAUGUUGGUUUAGCUGUCAUCUGUGGGAUGGGUGGAAUUGGCAAGAGCACCAUCGCGAAAGCCGCUUAUAACCGCAACUUUGAUAGAUUUCAAGGUAGCAGCUUUCUUGCAGAUAUACGAGAAUCUUCAGAACAACCCAAUGGUUUUGCUCUCUUGCAAAGAAAACUUCUUUCAGAUAUCCAAAACGGGAAAGCAAAGAAAGUAUACAAUAUGGAUGAAGGAACAAUCAGGAUCAAACAAGCCGUAGGUUAUAAAAAAGUUCUUAUUGUUCUUGAUGAUGUGAGCAACCGGGAUCAACUCAAUGCAAUUCUUGGAAUGCGAGAGUGGCUUCAUUCAGGAAGUAAAAUUAUCAUAACAACUCGACAUGAACAUUUGUUAAAUGCUCACGAUGUUUUUGAAAAGUUUAUGGUUCAAGAACUGAAUGAGUACGAAUCACUUGAGCUUUUCAGUUGGCAUGCCUUCAGACAAUCCCAUCCGGAAGAAGGUUACAAGGAGCUUUCAAGACAUGUGGUGCAGCACUGUGGAGGGCUUCCUGUAGCUCUUCAAGUUCUGGGAUCUUCUCUAUCUGGAAAAAGUGUAGAAGUAUGGCAAAGUGCAUUGCAGAAGUUAGACGUGAUCCCUAAUGACAAAAUUCAAAAAGUUCUGAGGAUAAGUUUUGAUUCUUUACAGGAUGAUCAUGACAAAAAUUUAUUCCUUCAUAUAGCCAGUUUCUUCACAGGAAAGACGAUGGAUUAUACAAGUACAAUGUUGGACAGCUUAAAGUUUUACACAAGGAUUGGGAUUGAAAAUCUAGUUGACAGAUGCCUAGUGAAAAUUCAAGGCUCGAACAGGUUGUUGGUCAUGCAUCAAUUGGUGAGAAACAUGGCAAUGGAAAUUAUUUGUGAAGAAUCACCUGAUGACCCUGGAAAACGUAGUAGAGUGUUGCAGAAAGAUGCCUCUAAUAUUUUGAGAAAAUUAAGUGUAAGAACUAUGUUUUCAUGUAUAUGUAUUUUUAGUUAUGAUUUGUUGUCCAGUACUAGUUAUAUACUUAUUCAAUGCUCUGAUUUGUUAGCAGGGUACGGAAAAUAUUAAGGGCCUCAUGCUUAACCUUGCUAGCAAAAUAACGUUUGUUGGAUGUCAUAAAAAACGAUGCCAUGAUGAAGAUUAUGAUGGAAAUUGUUCAAGACGACGUCGUCUUGGUUUCUUCUCUUGGAAGCCAGUUAGCUUUCCGUCCACAAACUCAGCUUCUGCAUCAAAUGAGAUAGAUUUCAAAUCUGAGGCGUUUAGAAGGAUGCACAAUCUUGAAAUUCUCAUGCUCAACAACGUCAACGUCAGGGGAAGCUACGAAGAAUUUCCAAAAAGUUUAAUAUGUUUAUCUUGGAGAGGAUUCCACUUAAAAUCAGUACCAGAAAAUUUUUAUUUGGAAAACCUGGUUGUUCUUGACAUGCGAAAUAGUAGCCUACAACAUGUUUGGAAUGGGAUCAGGGUACGUAACUCUCUCUCUCUCUCUCUCUCUCA
This 49396-nucleotide long non-coding RNA is filed under the name Malus domestica (apple). RNAcentral's name for it is "long non-coding RNA (MDOM_LNC017842)". Lineage: Eukaryota; Viridiplantae; Streptophyta; Magnoliopsida; Rosales; Rosaceae. The record is from RNAcentral.